This 68992-nucleotide long non-coding RNA is filed under the name Setaria viridis. Its description in RNAcentral is "long non-coding RNA (SVIR_LNC006068)". The record is from RNAcentral. Lineage: Eukaryota; Viridiplantae; Streptophyta; Magnoliopsida; Poales; Poaceae.
CCUCAAUGAAAUCAAGGAUUCUGUUGUGGCUGGCUUCCAGUGGGCCUCAAAGGAGGGUGCACUGGCUGAGGAGAACAUGCGUGGCAUCUGCUUUGAGGUCUGUGAUGUUGUUCUUCAUGCUGAUGCAAUUCACAGGGGUGGUGGCCAGGUCAUUCCAACUGCCAGGAGGGUUAUUUAUGCUUCUCAGCUCACUGCCAAGCCAAGGCUGCUCGAGCCAGUUUACCUUGUGGAGAUCCAGGCCCCAGAAAAUGCACUUGGUGGUAUCUAUGGUGUUCUGAACCAGAAGAGAGGGCACGUGUUUGAGGAGAUGCAGAGGCCUGGUACCCCGCUCUACAACAUCAAGGCUUACCUCCCUGUCAUCGAGUCCUUUGGGUUCUCCAGCCAACUGAGGGCUGCAACCUCUGGCCAGGCGUUCCCUCAGUGUGUGUUUGACCACUGGGACAUGAUGGGCUCUGAUCCUCUGGAGGCCGGCUCCCAGGCUGCUCAGCUGGUGUUGGAUAUCCGCAAGAGGAAGGGUCUCAAGGAGCAGAUGACCCCUCUUUCUGAGUUUGAGGACAAGCUCUAAAUUUUGGUGGUUUGUGCUGCUGUUACCCAUGCUGGUUUCAUGGCCAAUUCGUCUACUGUAACUGGAACUACUUUCAUGUUUCAUUUCCUUUAGUUGUCAGAUGCAUCUGUUUUUGAACAUCAUUGGCCAUAUGGCAUUGUGCUGCUAAGACUGUAUUUUGUUAUCCGGUUGUGAUGUAACAGAUGAAAUAGAGUUCAUAUCUGUGGUUUAAGUGGUAGUAUUUGCGGUAUAAUGCUUGUUUCUACUGCCUUCUGAAAGCCUUUCUUUUGCCUAACGGUAGAGCGGAUUAACUAAGGGUGUUGUAUCAUUUGAUUCAUUUGAUCCUUCAUCAAGGAUGAAGCCAUCUCCUCAUGGGAACACAUUAUUCUACUAUUAGAAGCGAAGAUGUAACAAAUUAGUUGAAAGAGGAGCGUUGAAAGAGGAGCGAACCAUACUUUACUAUAUGGUAAGUAGCAAAUUAGUUACAAGUAGCAAAUUAGUUGAACUUUAGGAUCAUGCACGUUGAACCUUGUUAUCUAGGAUCAUCCAUGGAUCAUGCACGUUGAACCUUGCUAACUAGGAUCAUGCACGUUGACCCUUGUUAUCUAGGAUCAUCCAUGGAUCAUACACGUUGAACUUUGCUAUCUAGGAUUAUCCAUGUAUGCAUCAUGUAGUGCAUCUGUGCAUGCAAUAUUCUGUUAUCUAGGAUCAUCCAUGGAUCAUACACGUUGAACUUUGCUAUCUAGGAUUAUCCAUGUAUACAUCAUGUAGUGCAUCUGUGCAUGCAAUAUUCUGCCCUUAGCUUGGUUUUACUGCCGAUAGCUAUAUAGUGCAUUUAAAUGCUUUUCUUUUGCCCACAGCCCCAGAGGUAGAGAGGACUAACUGUUUCUGUUGCUUUUUUUUUUUACGGUCUACGGGAGAGAGUGUGUGUGUGUGUUGGGGGUGGGAGCGCCCCCACCUGAUUUUCAUUUCAUUGAGGGUCUGUUUCAGGCCAAACGCUGUGUAGAUCAAAAGGAGAUAGAGAGAGGCAGUGUACAUCUGGUUUUGUGAUUGUUUUACAUCGAAGCAAAGACAGUGCACCAGGAGUCGGUUAUCACGCGAUCCUCUAUGCGAAACCGCUCGCGCCAAAGUCGGGCUUCGUCUCGGCAUGCCGACCAGAAGCGUUGUUGAGAUGGAGCGCAGCGCUGGAACACUGGGUCAUUCCGGUGCUUCCAUAACACCCACGGCAGAAGGAGUUUUUUCUUGCUUUGCCUUUAGCUUGGCUUUAAUCCUGUUAGCUAUGCCUAUGUAGAGCAUUUGGUCCUUCGAAUUUUAAAUCGAUGUUGAUUUUGAUUGCAUGCCGUCAUUUUGGGUUGGUUCCAACUAUGUUUUUAAUAUCAGUCGUUCUGAAGGUUACUCUGUUGACACUUGAUUGCAUAACCGUUUGCUAGUUUUGCGUGCAUCCGCGUGCUGGUUCGUCUCAUCAAGAACUAGCCGUUGCUCAAAACUCUGGCUUUCAGGCAUGGCCGCAACAGCCUGGAGGAUGUGUUGCUGUUCUGUAGCUGUAGUGUGCGUCUGUGCUAGUGGAUGCAGGGAGCCAGCGACCUAAAAGGAAUCGUGUAUUAGUGGAUGCAGGACAUCGGCCGUGGCGGCCUGGGGGAGACGACCACGCUCGACAUGAACGGCAGUAAGUUCAAUGGCACGAUCCCGGCGUCGCUUACCGGCCUAUGGAGCCUCCAGUAUCUAGAUGUGAGCGGCAACCGCUUCACCGGCACCAUCCCAGCGUUGCUAUCUGGACUCCGGAACCUCCAGCUUCUCGGCCUGAAUGACAACCUCUUCACCGGCACCAUCCCGGCGGACCUCGGCGAGCUGGCGAGCCUUCACAUGCUGUAUCUGGCAAACAACCAGUUCGAUGCAGGCCAGCUGCCGUCGUCGUUCAAGAACCUGACCAACCUGGUCAGCCUCUGGGCGUCGCAGUGCAACCUCGUCGGAGAGUUCCCGAACUUUCUUUGGAGCCUGAAGGAGCUGCAACUAUUGAAUCUGUACACGAACAACCUCACCGGCAACUUGGUGGUUGAUGGCCUUGUUGCGAGGAACUUGACAGUAAUCGACGUCUCGGAGAACAAGAUCACUGGAGUUAUCCCGAGUGUUUGGGAGCUUGGAGAACCUCAGAGACUUGAACUUCUUCAUGAACAACUUCUCCAGCGAGAUACCAGCCAGCAUCGGCCGGUUGCCCUCACUGACGAGGUUGAGGCUCCACACCAACAUGCUUAACGGCACGCUCCCACCGGAGCUCGGAAAGCAAUCGCCGGGCUUGAAUUAUGUUGAGGUUGAUUACAAUGAGCUCACCGCCGAGAUCCCGGAAGGGCUGUGCACUGGAGACAACCUCCAGCACCUCACCGCCAAGAGCAACCAAUUGAACGGCUCCAUCCCAGCAGGCCUUGCCAACUGCGCCACUCUUGGAACCCUGUCGCUGGACAACAACCAACUCUCUGGCGACGUACCAGAGGCUCUGUGGACGGCGACGAAGCUUUACCAGAGGCUCUUCCGGCCACGGUGCAUCUCAACCUUUCGACGAUACUCAUAGGGAACAACCAAUUUGGUGGCAACAUUCCGGCUGCACUAGCUGCGCUCCAGGUGUUCACCGCCGAGAACAACCGGUUUUCUGGUGCGAUACCGGCGAGUCUUGGCGACGGCAUGCCGCUGCUGCAAAGACUGAACUUAUCCGGUAACCAACUGUCCGACGGGAUCCCCAGAAGCGUUGCUAAGCUAAGCCAGCUGACGGAAAUGGACCUGAGCAGGAAUCAGCUCACCGGAGGCAUACCGGUAGAGCUCGGCGCCAUGCCGGUGUUAAGUGUCCUUAACCUGUCGUCGAACAAGCUCUCCGGCAACGUGCCGCAGGCGCUUGCGAAGCCGACACUCACCGCCCUAACCUGUCCUCGAACCAUCAGACCGGCCAGGUCCCGGCCGGGUUCGCCACCGCGGUCUACGACACCAGCUUCCUCAACAACCCCGGCCUCUGCACCGCCGCUUGGGGACCUGGCUACCUCACGGGCGUACGCUCCUGCGCCGGUGGAUCACAAGACGGCGGUUCCUCCGGAGGCGUGUCGCACGCCCUGCGCAGGGGAACCUCGCCGUGGCGUUCGCCUUCUUCGUCGUCCGCGACAUCAAGAAACGGCGGCGCGUCGCGGAGCAAGACAACUGGAAGAUCACGCCUUUCGUCAAAGAUCUGGGAUUCGGUGAGGCACCCAUACUCCGGGGGCUGACGGAGGAGAACCUCGUCGGGCGCGGGGGAUCGGGGCGCGUGUACCGCGUCGCCUACACCAACCGGCUUAACGGCCGAGCCGGCGCGGUGGCCGUAAAGCAAAUACGGACCGCCGGGAAGCUCGACCAGAAGCUGGAACGCGAAUUCGCGUCAGAGGCUGGCAUCAUCGGCAACCUCCGGCACAACAACAUCGUCAAGCUCUUGUGUUGCCGCUCCAGCGCCGAGUCCAAGCUCCUCGUGUACGACUAUGGACAACGGCAUCCUGGACAGGUGGCUCCACGGCGACGCCCUCGUCGCCGGCGGGCGCCCCAUGGCGAGGGCGCGGUCCGCGCGGCGCGAGCCGCUGGACUGGCCGGCGAGGCUCAGGGUGGCCGUCGACGCCGCGCAGGGGCUGUGCUACAUGCACCACGAGUACGAGCCGCCCAUCGUCCACCGCGACGUCAAGACGAGCAACAUCCUGCUGGACUCGGAGUUCCGGGCCAAGAUCGCCGACUUCGGGCUGGCCACAGGAUGCUGCUGCAGGCCGGGGCGCCGGAAACGAUGUCCGCCGUCGCUGGCUCGUUCGGCUACAUGGCUCCUGGUAAGGAUUCGAACUUGCUGCUUUCAGUGAAUUUCUGUCCCAUUUCUACAAAUGCCACGUGUUCUCGUGUUGCCGGACCUUAGAUUGGGCCUUUUGAUGCUUAUCUGCAGAGUGUGCUUACACCAAGAAGGUGAACGAGAAGGUAGACAGCUUCGGUGUCAUUCUCCUGGAGCUCACCACCGGAAAGGAGGCCAACAACGGCGGCGAGCACGGCUGCCUGGCGGACUGGGCACGGCGCCACUACCAAUCAGGAGGGAGCAUCGCCGACGCCACAGACAAGAGCAUCAGAUACGACGGGUACUCUGACGAGAUCCAGGUUGUCUUCAGGCUCGGCGUGCUCUGCACCGCCGAUAUGCCGUCGUCGCGGCCAACCAUGAACGACGUGCUGCAGAUCUUGGUCAAGUGCAGCGAGCAGACGUACCACAAGGGCAAGACGGAGCGUGGCCCAGAGUAUGAGGUGGCUCUUCUACCCAAACGCGGCAGUCGCCGGAAACAGCUUUCAAACGGCUCGGGGAUUUACAUCGAAGAGAAGAUGACAGCAUUGUCUGAAGAAAGGAACUGACCACUGCAUAUGCCAGUAAGCAGCUUGUGACAUCGUCAGUGAACUGCUUGCUAUAGUGAUACUUCACAUUUUAGCAGAGUACAGCGGAGAAUUAUGCCUCUAAUCUUUUUUUUUCUGAGGAGCUAAGUAUCUUUAUAUUAAAAAGAGAAUAUAAAUAGAAAAAAUCAGUCCAUUGGAAGCAACCACUCUAGCUCACCUAGGAGAAUAGAGAGAUUGCAUAAACAAGCGAAGAAAAAACCGUCACCAGACCUUGACCCUGCACGGCUGGACUAGGGACAUGCAUAGUAUAGAGCAGGGCUUGUGGUUAGCCAAACCGUUCUGUGUAUUGAUACUGCAAAUCUGUAUUAAAUCACACACACAUUAUACGUUCCGACAGAAGAACUAGCAAACAUUACGAUUAUACUCCCUCCGUUCUUAAAUAUAUAACGCUAUUGACUUUUUCAUUUGUUUGACUAUUCAUCUUUUCUACAAAUAUUUUUGCAAAUAGAUAAAUCUACGAGUUAAAUCUAAAGUACAUUUCACAAUAGUCAUAAUGAUACACAUUUUACUUUAGUUAACUAACUCAUUCAAUAGAUAUUGAUGGUCAAAGUUGGAGUAAAAAGCCAACAGCAUCAUAUAUUUAAGAAUGGAGGGAGUAAUUUAUUUCUGAAAUAAAGGCAGGAGAUGGAGCUCUGCUUAUCCAUUCAGAAAUUAGUACGAUUGAAUGAUUUUGUCUCCUUCCAGUUUUUAUUGUAAAACACAGAAUAUUACACGGAUAGGCACUGAUUGUUAUCCGGAAGAAAAUGAAUUUUUAUAUUUCAAAAGAAAAGGCCCAAUUUGCACCCUCUAGCUAGCACGAUAAUCCAAUUUUCAGCUAAACUGACCAUGGGCCGGCCCAAAGGCACAGGAAUUUGGCCCGGUCUAGGCAUGGCGGCCGUCGUGCUCGUGCUAACCCGACCCACACCAUGGGCCGUGCUUGGGCCGUUGCCUCAGCCCACGUACUGGUCCGGCACGGCCUGCCCAUUUGGCCCGUCGGGAUUAAGUGGGCGGCCCAUCCUAUUAAGGCCCACUCGACCGCAUAUAAAACCCCCCACCCCCAAACGGCCAAACCCUACCUUCCUCUUCGUGUCCCGCGCCCUUCGCCGCCGUCACCUCCCCCGCGCCCUUCGCCGCCUCUCGCGCCCGCCGGCCGCUCACGCCCUCCGCCGCUUCCCCCCGCCGCCUCCCUCACGCCCUCCGCCGCAUCCUCCCACCGCCUCCCUCGUGCCCUCCGCCACCUCCCGCGCCCGCCGGCCUCUCGCUCCCCUGCCACCUCCCCCGCGGCCCUCUGCCGCCUCCUACACCCGCCGGUCCCUUGCCGCAAUUGGGGAAGAUGGUGGCCUGCACGGCGGCGCGCGCAAACGUCCUGUCGUCCCUCGGCGGUGGGAGCUGCGGCACGAGUGGGCGCCUGGGCAGAUCCGGGAAAGGUCUAUGGGCGCCCUGACGACGAGGUGGUCGAAGUCAUCGGGGCUAUCGAACUCGACGACGACAGGCGCUACGGGCGUAUGAGCAGAGGAAGGGUGAAUUCUGUGCCGCAGGCUGGCACGAGCACGGUGAGGCCGUUAAGGCCUGCCAGGCCAGCGUGCCAGCACGGCCCACCUAAGAAGGCUGCGGGUCAUGCCUGGACCGCUCCUUCGGCACAUGGGCCGGCACGGCCUGGCACUAUUACCGUGCAAGCCUAACCGUGCCGGGCCUAACCGUGCCAGGCCAAAUCGUGCUCGUGCCAGGCCGGGUUGGGCUACCUGUUUGGCCAUCUAUACAUCCAACGGUUGAAACCAGAUAAAUUUUAUCCUUUAGCUGGUUUCAAAGAUGUUUUUUUGUUUUAUUAGACAUUUAAAAAAAAUCUGAUUUAAUCUUGUUGGGGGGAAAUAUUAACGAUCCCCUAAAUACCACUUAAAGGAGCAGACGCGAAGGCCCGGGCCCACCUAAGCAUAAUCAAAACUCCGCCUCGCCCGACCGCGGCCUCAGGGUCAGGAACGCCCGACCCCCCUCCACGAGGUUUCCGCCUCGUCCGACUGCGGCCCCAGGGUCGAAGGCGCCCGAUCCCUCGCCACAAGGUUCCGCCUCGUCCGACCCCAAGCGCAGGGGUCGGGCUCGCUGGGGCCCCCAGGGCAGGCAUCCCCCUCGGAUGUGGACCAGGUGGGCAAGAUAAACAAAUCUUGCGGGUCCCCCCCCCCAUCGGCCUCGUCAUAAAUGCGCUGCGGGCCUGGCAGAGGGAGGAAUGACCACGCUCCUCACACAACCCGCCGCAAGUACCCAUGCACGACCAUACUGUACAAGCUACAGCGCUGGCGGCUCACUCCCAUUCGCCGCAGGGUACUCAUGGCCUGCGCCGACCGGAGCGGAGGAGAGACUCGCCUGUCCUCGAGCCCCGCGCACCCUCGGGUCCCGUGCGCCUGGCAUCUAGGAUGUGACGCCCUCUCUCCAGGAGCCAUCAUCAGAAUGGCAGCAUCCACCGUCCUCCCCAACGGACACCGGGAUAACGACGAAACGCCCUCAUCAUAACCCGACGCCUACGGAUGCCGAAGGAGCUAUCUGUAGGGUGCAACGACAGUUGGCGCACGGCCGCCUCCCCCUCCGGCAUGCACGCCGGCGCUCGCCAGGAGCCGGCGGAGGCGUCGGGCGUCUAGGAACUUGUUCCUCCCAUCCUGCCGUAUUUUUUACCGUACUACGUUCACAUUUUACGGUCCUCUUCGCCCGAUCCCAACUGUAACUCUGGCCACUCCCCUUGCGAUAUAAAAGGAGGAACACAGGGCCGGAGGGGGGGAUCGGCUUCUUCCCCCUCAAGCCACAGCAUGCUAGUACGCUCCCUGAGAACAUAGGCUCAAAGAGACUUGGGACCAGUCCCUCUCUCGUCGGUCUGUAACCCCUACUACAGAACCCCGCGUGGGCAAUACGAGCAUCCACGAUACUGGACGUAGGGCUCCCUUUGCUCGAACCAGUCUAAUCCGUGUCUCCCACGCCACCAUCUGAGGCCUUACGCGCAUAAAAGAAAUUUACUAGUCUAAGUCUUGAUCCGCCAAUCUUGACAACGACAGUUGGCGCGCUAGGUAGGGGACCUUUGCGCAUACCCUCCCAGCCUCAGAUGGCCAAUUACGAUAGUAGCUUUGCUCCGGGCUCCCUGAUCCGAUUCGGGAGCCUGGACUUCCUCGCCACCGGGGAAGGGAUCAAGCUGAUCCCUGUCCUCAUCCUGCCCGCUCGCCCGCCUGCCCCCGGCCCCGCCGCCGGGACAGCGGUGAGCGGCCGCUCGCAUACCGGAAGGACCUCGCCAGGGGGACGGCCCUUCGGGCUACGCAAUGCCACGGGGGCCUACGGACGCCUCCUAGCGCGGUCCAUGACCGCGUCGCCCGCGAGCAACGAGCUCGUAGGUGCGACAAGGACGAUCUCCGACACCGGCUCCAGCAGCGGGAGCCCCCACCCCUCGCGUGAGUGCCUCGUGGUCGACGAGCACUCUGAGGGAUCCAACAGCAACGAUGCCGAGGAGAGACAAAGGGCUGCCCCUCGCGCGCCGCGGCUAUGACCGGAGCCUUACCAAGGGCACCAGAGUGCUCUCAGCAACGAGAGGCGCGCGCGGGCGCCCGCCAAGAAGUCGAGCACCCCCACCACGAGGGAGGAGCGCGACAACGGGCGCGAGACGUCCAGCGACGCAUCUGCGCGGAUGAAGAGCGUCCGCAGCUUUUCGCCCGCGCCAGCCAAAACGUCGCAGCCGCGGCGGUGUUGCUCCGACAGCUCCCCGAACCAGCGAUGCCCGAGGAGCGACGGGCACGCCAAGAGAUGCGCGACCUGCUCGAAUGCGCCGCCGUCCAGCAGGCGGAAAGCUCCGCGUCCCGGCGACGCGGGCAGAAUGCCAGCAGGGCGACGCCCGACGCGCCCCCGGAAAGGCGGGGGGAAUCAGUCCAUCUACCCCCUCCUGGGGCGAAUCAGGCCGCGUCCGCCCGACGGACUCCACCACCCGCGGGAGGCGAGGCUCGAUCCGUCCACCAGCGCGUCGGCCUCGUCCGCGACGCCCGCGACACCCUAAACGCGCGGAGACGCUCCCGCGCGGACAGGGAGGACGGGGUAGAUCGAGGCUACCACGUCCACCGUGGCGGGCGCUACGACAGCGGGGAAGACCGCAGCCUGAGCCCCGGUCCGGCUGGGCCCCGGGCCUUCUGUGCGCGCAUCCUGAACGCGCCUUUUCCGCCGCGCUUCAGGCAACCCAUGAGUAUAGCCAAAUACUCAGGGGAGACGAAUCCUGGAGUGUGGCUCAGCGAUUACCGGCUUGCAUGUCAAGCCGGCGGGGCGGAUGAUGACCUGUUUAUCAUCCGCAACCUACCCCUCUUCCUAGCCGACUCAACGCGAGCUUGGCUAGAACAUAUCCCUUCGGGACGAGUUCGCAACUGGAAUGACCUGAAGGAGGUUUUCAUAGGGAACUUCCAGGGCACGUACACACGCCCCGACAAUUCCUGGGACCUCCGGAGCUGUCGUCAGGGGGCGGACGAGUCCCUCCGAGAUUAUAGCCGGCGCUUCUCCAGGAAGCGCACCGAGCUCUCCAACGUCGCGGACGCCGAUGUCAUAGGAGCUUUCCUAGCAGGAACCUCCUGCCGGCCCCUCGUCCACGAGCUGGGGUGCCGAGGCCCGCGAACCACGGAGGAGCUCCUCAAUAUCGCCACUAGUUACGCCUCGGGCGAAGAGGCCGUUGGAGCAAUCUUCGACCGCUCCAAAGGCAAGGCGAAACGGGAGGAGGUUGCUGGCGAAGGCACCUCCAACCGCCAGCAGAAGAAGAAGGGCAAGUUACGGCGCGAGGCCCCCCUCGUGGCCGCAGCUGAGCGCAAGCGAGGGCCGCCGCCCCCCGAGGGCGCUCCCGGCUUCUUCGACAAGUUGCUUGAGGGACCGUGCCCGAACCACGAGUUCCCCGUGAAGCACGCCUACAAAGACUGCAACCUCAUGAAGAGAUACUUCAUGGGCAAUUCGGUGAAAGGCGACCGGAAGCGGAAGCCCGAUGAGGAAAAGAAGGGCGACGAAGAGAAGGAAGACGGCUUCCCCAAGGUGGACGGCUGCUUCAUGAUCUUCGGGGGCUCUGCGGCAUACGACACCAAGCGCCAGUAGAAGCUGGAGCGCCGGGAGGUCUACGCGGCCGAGCCAGCGACUCCGGCCUUCCUGGACUGGUCAGGGCCGGCCAUCACCUUCGACAGGACCGACCACCCUGGACGCGUCCGGCACCCGGGGCGUUACCCUCUCGUCGUCGACCCCAUCGUCGGCACGACGCGCCUCACCAAGGUGCUCAUGGACGGAGGCAGCAGCCUCAACAUCCUCUACGCCGAGACCCUCGACGCUAUGGGGAUCGACCGUUCCCGCCUCCAUCCCAGCAAGGCGCAUUUCCAUGGCGUCGUGCCAGGGAAGCAGGCGAUGCCUCUCGGGCAAAUCGACCUGCGCGUUACGUUCGGGACCCCUUCCAACUACAGGAAGGAGGUCCUCACAUUCGAGGUGGUGGGGUUCCGCGGAACCUACCACGCCAUCUUGGGACGGCCUUGCUACGCAAAGUUCAUGGCUAUCCCCAACUACACCUACCUCAAGCUCAAGCUGCCGGGGCCCAACGGGGUCAUCACCGUCGGCACGACCUUUCAGAAGGCGUACGAGUGCGACGUAGAGUGCUGCGAGUACGCCGCGGCCAUCACCGUCACGAGCGAUUCGGCAGUCCAGCUUGCGGAGGCCACCGAGGACCGGCCCGACUCCAGGCAGCCGAACAUCUCCUUCGAGCCCGCUGAAGGUAUCAAGGAGGUCCCCCUUGAUCCCGGUUGUUCCAACGGAGGAGUCGUGCGGAUCAGCGCGGCCCUAUCCCCCAAAUAGGAAAGCGCGCUCGUUGACUUCCUCCGCGCGAACAGCGACGUCUUCGCGUGGAAGCCAUCGGACAUGCCAGGCAUUCCGAGGGAAGUCGCCGAGCACUCCUUGAACAUCAGGGCCGGUUCCAAGCCAGUAAAGCAAGGAUUGCGCCGUUUCGACGAGGAAAGGCGCAAGGCCAUCGGCGAAGAGCUCCAGAAGCUUCUGGCGGCCGGGUUCAUCAAGGAAGUGCACCACCCCGAGUGGCUAGCUAAUCCUGUCCUUGUACCAAAAAAGAAUGGGAAAUGGAGGAUGUGUGUCGAUUAUAACGGUCUCAACAAAGCGUGUCCAAAGGACCCGUUUCCUUUGCCACGCAUAGAUCAAAUAGUCGACUCAACUGCCGGGUGCGAGACCCUCAGCUUCCUCGACGCAUAUUCCGGCUACCAUCAGAUCGCGAUGAAAGAGGCCGACCAGCUCGCUACCUCCUUCAUCACCCCCUUCGGUCCCUACUGCUACGUUAAGAUGCCAUUCGGCCUCAAAAACGUGGGGGCUACCUUCCAGCGAUGCAUGCUGUAGUGCUUCGGAGACCUCAUUGGGCGGACCGUUGAGGCCUACGUUGACGACAUCGUCGUAAAAUCCCGGAGGGGCGACCAGCUCGUUCCCGUCCUUGAACUAGCCUUCGAGAGGCUGAGGGAUAAGCGUAUUAAGCUCAAUCCCAAGAAAUGUGUGUUCGGAGUCCCAAGGGGCAUGCUGUUAGGCUUCAUCGUCUCCGUGCGCGUCAUCGAAGCAAACCCGGAGAAGAUAGCGGCCAUUAGAGACAUGGGGCCGAUCCGGAACAUAAAGGGAGUUCAGCGCAUCAUGGGAUGCUUGGCAGCUCUAAGCCGCUUCAUCUCGCGCCUCGGCGAGCGAGGGCUUCCUUUCUAUCGGCUCCUGAAGAAGACUGACCGUUUCGAAUGGACCAGCGAGGCCCAGGAGGCACUUGACCGACUCAAGGACCUCCUGACGAAGGCCCCGAUCCUAGUCCCGCCUACCGACGGCGAGUCCCUCCUGCUCUACGUCGCGGCGACCACCCAGGUGGUUAGCGCGGCCUUGGUGGUGGAACGAGAAGAGGAAGGACACGCUCUCAAGGUGCAACGCCCGGUGUAUUUCAUCAGCGAAGUCUUGUCCGAGUCCAAGACACGUUACCCGCAGAUCCAGAAGCUCGUCUACGCCAUCCUUAUCACAAAGAGGAAGCUGCGCCACUACUUCACCUCCCACCCGGUAACAGUCAUUUCGUCAUUCCCGUUAGGCGAAGUAAUCCGGAACCCAAAUGCUACAGGGAGAAUCGCGAAGUGGGCGCUUGAGCUCAUGGACCAGGGUAUCACCUACGUCCCCCGCACCGCCAUCAAGUCCUAGGCACUCGCCGACUUCGUGGCAGAGUGGACGGAGAUUCAAACGCCAUCGGCGCCAGAGAAGCAGGAGUAUUGGACAAUGUACUUCGACGGGUCACUGAUGAGGGCCCGCGCCGGAGCGGGUCUCGUUUUCGUCUCUCCCUUGGGCAUGCGCAUCAGGUACAUGAUCCACCUUCAUUUUCCUGCAUCUAAUAAUGUCGCCGAGUACGAAGCCCUCCUCAACGGACUCCGCAUCGCCAUCGAGCUGGGCAUCCGUCGGCUGGACAUCCGGGGCGAUUCCCAGUUGGUCGUCGAACAAGUCAUGAAGGAGUGGAGCUGCCACGACCCCAAAAUGGCAGCCUACUGCAACGAGGUCCGUAAGCUCGAAGACAAAUUCGACGAGCUAGAGCUCAACCACGUCGCAAGGCGCUUCAACGAAGCCGCCGACGAGCUGGCGAAGGCGGCAUCCGAAUGAAUGCUCGUCCCCGACGGCGUCUUCGUUAGCGACCAGUUGAAGCCCUCAAUCCGUUACCCAGAACUGCAGGGGUCGGCGAAGCACCCCCGGCCCUGGGAUCGGGACCCGAGUCAGGGGAGGUCGGCAGCGCGCCACCUGUCCGAGACCCGAGCACCAGCCCCGAGGGGGUCGACAACGCUUUGCCCAACUCGGCCCCGGGAGCCGAUCCGUCCGACCCCGGGGUCAUGGAAAUCACGGCAGAUUCCGCGGCGGGUGCCGACCCCCCGAUCGAUUGGAGAGCCCCAUACAUCGACUACCUCGUCCGCGACACGCUCCCGGCAGACAAAACGGAGGCCCGUAGGAUCGCGCGCCGCGCCAAAUCCUUCGCCAUCAUCGACCAGGAGCUCUACAAGAAAAGCCACACUGGAAUCCUCCAGCGCUGCAUCUCGAUCGAACAGGGAAAGGCGCUGAUCAAGGAUAUCCACGCCGGAGCCUGUGGUCACCACGCCGCGCCAAGGACCCUCGUUGGUAACGCCUUCCGACAAGGUUUUUACUGGCCGACCGCGGUCGCGGACGCUACCCAGGUAGUCCGCACCUGUGAAGGAUGCCAGUUCUUUGCCCGCCAGACUCACCUGCCCGCGCAGGCGUUGCAGACCAUCCCCAUCACGUGGCCAUUUGCGGUUUGGGGGCUAGAUCUCGUCGGACCCUUCAAGAAGGCACCCGGGGGCUUCACCCAUCUGCUCGUCGCCAUCGACAAGUUCUCCAAAUGGAUCGAGGCAAGACCGGUGGCGCAAAUCAGGUCCGAGCAGGUGGUCCAGUUCUUCACCGACAUCAUCCACCGCUUCGGGAUCCCGAAUUCCAUCAUCACCGACAACGGCACACAGUUCACUGGGAAGAGAUUCCUCCAGUUCUGCGACGACCACCACAUCCGAGUGGAUUGGGCGGCCGUGGCACACCCCCGCACGAACGGGAAAGUCGAGCGAGCCAAUGGCAUGAUACUCCAGGGUCUCAAGCCAUGGAUCUUCGACCGCCUUAAAAAAUUCGACGGACGGUGGGUUGCGGAGCUUCCCGCAGUCCUUUGGAGCCUGAGGACGACCCCCAGCCGGGCGACGGGCUUCACCCCGUUCUUCAUGAUCUACGGGUCAGAGGCCAUUUUGCCCACCGAUCUAGAGUACAGAUCGCCAAGGGUCAAGGCAUACGACGAACAGGGAAACCAGGCAUCAUUCGAGGACGCGCAAGAUCAACUCGAUGAAGCGCGAGACGUAGCUCUACUGCACUCGGCUAAGUACCAGCAGGCCCUACGGCGUUACCACAGCCGCAAGGUGCAAGGCUGAGCCUUCAACGUCGACGACUUGGUGCUCCGCCUCGUCCAAGACAACAGGGGUCGGCACAAGUUGACUCCCCCAUGGGAAGGCCCGUUCAUCGUCGUACAAGUUCUACGGCUGGGCACCUACAAGCUGGCAACUCCCGACGGGCAGGUUUUCAGCAACGCCUGGAACAUAGAACAGCUAAGGUGCUUUUACCCAUAGCUUUUAUUUCCAAGCCCUGCAUAAAACUUGUCUUCAAUUCCGAUAUUUCCUUUAAGCUCAGGGGUAUCCGACCCUGGCCUCGUUCCAGGGCCGCAUACCCCUCGGGGGCUACCAGUUUUGCUCCUCUGCGAAAAAAAAGAAACCCCGAGCCGUCUCGGUUCAGGCCUUUUCCUUUAAGCUCAGGGGUAUCCGACCCUAGCCUCGCUCCAGGAUCGCAUACCCCUCGGGGGCUAUCAGAGGUUCCGACCCCAGCCGCUCGGCCCUAUCUAAAAGAAACAUUUUUUCUUUUCAAACCGAACACUCCCUUUCUAGACCUUUGGGCGCAAAAAAGAGAAGGAUGCGCGAACGGUGCUCAGGCAAGUUUGAUCGGACUGCGAAAAAACCUACGCCCCAGCGGCUACGGCACCUUCGCUCAUCAAAACUUAAUGACGCACCCGACAACGCAUUCUAAACUUUCAAGCCCAAAGGAACAGCAAAGGGGAUCGGGAUCUUUCGCACAACGAAGUCAUAAACAAGCCUGUAUGGCCAUCACAAAAUAAGUUCGAAACUAACAUAAUUACAUUUUGGGCACAAGCCCGGUACAGUUAACUUGACGAGGGGUCGGCAGGAGGGAUGACCUCAUCUUCCAGGAGCUUCGCGAGGGCCUCCGCCGGCGCGGACACCGCUGCAUCAAUCCCGUCCAGCUCAGCUUCGGUGUAAUCAGCGGCGUACCCUUCACUCAUCCCGGCAAAGUUGAUGCCAGAAUAAUGGGAGCCGAAGACCCCGAAGGCUCGCCGCAUGCCGACGUGAAGCGCGUCCAUGGCGAUCUCGCGACGUCGACGGCGUACCCCAAGGACACGAGCCGGCAGAGAGCUCGACCCCUCCUCCGGAACUACGCCAAAGUCGUCACAGACGACGCGGACCGCAUCCCGCAAGGCGCCGUGCUCGCCGUGCUCCGCGUCGAGCAAACCCUUCAGCUUGGCGAUUUCGCCUGCAGGAACCACCCAGAAAAGCCCACCAAGUCAAGAACAGAACACAAAAUGUCACGGGAACGCGGGAACGGAAAAAAAAAGCCUCACCGUCGGCCCAGGCCUUCAACUCGCGCUCCCGGUCGGCUCCUUGAGACACGGCGGACUGGAGUCCCUGCACUUGCGAGCGAAGGCGACCAGUCUCCGCGCUAAGGGCUUCACGCUCCCCCCUCAGCUGUGCAAGCUCCCCGGCAUCACGACGGGCCCUCUCAGCGGCAGCUUGAAGCUCCUCGGCGUCGCGGCGGACCCUCUCAGCGACAGCUUGGAACUCCUCGUGGUCGAGGCGGGCUUUCUCGAUGACGGCUUGGAGCUUGGCCUCCGAUCACCGCGCCUCCUCCAACGCCGCCCCCUCACGCCUUUGCAGGUCCCGAAUGACCCCCUGGGCGGCAGUGACUUGCAGGGACAGGUCCCUGGUGCGCUCCCUCUCCGCGUUGAAGCGCUCCCAGAGACCCUGCUGCAGCCGAAGGAAAUCAGAUUUCCCCCGACUGCCCUCUUGGAGGGCCUGCAAAGCAACGUGCCAUUAGAAAAAAAAAAGCAAAAGGGAGGUGCUGAUCACCAACAGUAGGAGCAACAUACCUGGCUGCCAGGGAGGACGGUGUUACCCAGAACCCCCAACGCCGAAGACAGAGCCGCCUCAACGUGGGCAAGGCCGCCCUGCAUCGCCUGCCACUUGUGCCACUCAGUGGCGUCGUCCAGCGUGAAGAGAUGCCUCGGCGGGUCAUCGCGGGAUGACCAGCGAAGGACAGACCCCCUCCACGCCCUGGGAACGGAGGGAGCCGAGGCCGAGGCAGGGGCCGAUCCUGACGCUGCCGUCAAGGUCGGCACCAUUGCACUAGAAGCCGCCGAGUUUACUGACGGCCCCGGCACCUGCACGCUCGUCGCCGCCGAGGCCGCCGGCGGUAUCCCAGUGGGCCCCUCCGCCUCCGCCGCCGGAGCCACUCCCGCGGGGGUAAUUGGGGCGGAGGCCCCCGCCUCCGUCACCGUUGCCUCCGCCGCCGCGCUUUCGGGGGCAGGCGUUCCCUCCGCCACCGAUCCCGCCGCGGCUGCGGGGGCAUCCGCCCUACCUCCCGUCGCCGCCGUCUCCUCUGCCUCGUCGGCGUCGAAGUCGAUCACCUUCCCGGCCUGAGAACCCGGGGGGAUCGUGCCCUGCGCUGUAGGGGCGACUGGGGGGACCGAAGGCGGAGUAGGGUCCGCUCCCCCUCCCACGGCUGACACCGCCGUCGCUCCGCCGGCCGCCACCACAGGGGCCGCCUCCGCGGAGGGGUCCGCGGCCUCACCAGGGACCCCGCCGCUCGCCGCGGGCGGGACCGCGGUCCGCCCCCCAGAGGAGGUUGACAACCGCAACGCCUUCUUAGGCACCAGCUGCAGGGCAAGGCCACGAGGGGCGGCGCUGCAUAUCGACAAACAGACGUCAGCACAAACGAGCGUGAGAAGAGGAGAGGAACGAGGCGCAAGGAAGGCCAACUUACGUCCUUGAAGCACAAGGGCGGCGCGCGCGCUUCGACUCAGAGCCCGACGCCGACCCCGGGGCAUCUGGCAGCGGCCGCUUGUCGCCACUUCGCUGCUCUCCAGUCGCGGGCACGGCGGUGGAGGCAGUCUCUGCAGAUCUCCGAGGAGCACCCUGAGCGGACUCCUGGGGAGCGCCCCGCGCCGGCUCUGAAGUGGCGGCGGGGGCAGGCUCCGAGGACCCCCGAGGGGCGCUCCGCGCCAGCUUUGGGAAGGAGCCCCGUGUCGACCCCUGGGGGGCACCCUUCACCGACCCCUGGGGAGCGUCCCGCGCCCGCUCCUGGGAGGCACCCCGCGCCGGCCCCUGGGGGGCGUUCCGCGUCGACUCCUGGGGGGCGUCUCGUGCCGGCUCCGAAGCGGCGGCGGGGGCAGGCUCCGAAGACCCCCGAGGGGCGCUCCGUAUCGACCCCUGGGGGGCACCCCUUGCCGACCCCUGGGGAGCGUCCCGCGCUCGCUCUUGGGACACGCCCCGCGUCGGCCCCUGGGGGGCGUCCCGCGUCGUCUCCUGGGGACACGCUGUACUGGCCCCUGGGGCGCAGCCCCAGGGCCUGGUGGAGCCGAAGCCCGGGCGGGCGCCUCCUCCACUUCACCUCCCGCGGCCGUCCGCGGGGGUGCCUCACGAAUGGCGAGGGCGCCCGAUCGGAAGGAGGAAAUCAGCUCCUCCUCAUCAUCAUCUUCCUCAUCUUCAUCCUCUUCAUCAUCGUCGUCAUCAUCGUCGUCGUCGUCAUCGAACACGACCGACCCCCUCCGCCGCCGUUGGAACUCCUUAGCGGCCUUCUUCCUCUUCUUCGCCAUCUCGAUGUCCUUCCGGCGCUUCUGCGCCUCGGCGAGGAGACGGUUGUGCGUCCGCCGCUCAACAUCUUCCGGCACCGGCGGGAGCGAGUGCGCGACCCGGGUUAGCGGACCCUACAAACGCAAAGCAGCUCCACGUCAGAGUGACAAUCGCAAGACACGAAGAAAGGAGGAGGACGCCCCAACUCCUUACCAGAUCUAUGAGCCCGCAUCCGGGCGCAUCGGCGGGUGCCCGGGAAUCGGGUACUCGACGUCCUUGUCCUCCAGCGCCUCCCGAAUCCGUUGCCGGAUCUCGGAAGCGACGAGCGCACCCGUCGCCAAGGCGGUGCCCUCGGUCGGCGCGUCGGGGGUCAUGGCGGCAAGCGGUCGGAUUCAGAGCAUCAGUGGCGCCACCCGUCGGGUGUGGUACGCUCCGAUGACCCCGGCGCCGGUGAGCCCGUCCCGCUUCAGCCGCUCGAUGGCCUGCAGCAGGUCGAAGAACCGCUUCUUGUCCUUCUCCACUGGCCCGUACGCCCACACCUCCGGCGCCGCGUCGAUGGUACGGCCGGUGAAAGCCGGCAGGGGGGAGUUCGGGUAGUUCUUCACAUAGAACCACUGGUUGUGCCACCCCUUGUGGGACGCCGAGGUCUUCAUCGUCAUGUUCUCCUUGGAGCGGGUAUGACGAAGGUGGAUCCCGGCGCACCCGAUCGGCACCGGAGGUGACCGCUGCUGGCUCCCUCGCUUCUCCGUCUUCUGGUACAGGCUCACUGUGAAAAAGUAUUUCCACAGCGAGAAGUGGGGCUCAAUGCCUAGGAAUCCCUCGCACAGGGCGACGAACGCCGCAAUGUGCUGGAUCCCAUUGGGUUUGAGGUGCUGGAGCUCGAGCCCAUAGUAGUGGAGGAGCCCCCGAAAGAAGCGGCUCGAGGGAGAGGCGAACCCCCGCUCAUGGAAGUGAGCGAAGGAGACGAUGUAGCCAGAGAGAGGCUCCGGCACCUGCUCCGGGCCCGACAGCAACCACUCAGCCGCCUCCGUCUUCUCGCAGAGGAGGCCUUUUCGCACCAGGCCCUCGGCGCGCGAGGAGGUGAAAUGGGAGAUCCCCCAGGAACCCAUCGCCGGAGGAGGGAGAUCAACGGAGGUGAGAAGAAAGGGCACGGCUUGGAGCAAAGGAAACGAAGCGGGCACGGACAAACUGAACGCUAGGCUGGAGGGCGGAAAGGCUCGAAUGCAGAAGGCGGGCGGAACCGGCGCGGCGGGCUCCCGUUUUUAUAGGAAAGGUACGGGAGAAGCCAAAUCGACGCCCCGGCCGCCAUAAAUGCGGCGCCAGGUACGCCCCUGCCACGCCCGUUUCCUUUUCGAAAACCGCGCGCACGGCCGGCCGCGAAAACAUCCUAUCCUCCUCGAUUCGCGGGAUGGCGCUUCCCAUAACUCCACCUCCCGGAAGGCACGACGUCCCCCACGUUCGGCCCAGACGUCACGACCGCUCCGUUCUGGCCCAAGGCCCACCGAAAGGUAAGAAAGGGAUACGGGGCUGAAAACGCCCCUACGGCCCAUUACGGUCCAGAGGUUCGAAGGCUGGCCCACCGCGGGAUCGACAGCUGCCUCAGGAUAUCUCCCGAGCAAGGGGUGAGAAGGGACGGGUCCACUAGCGGCCAACACCCAGGCAAGCGAAAGCCAAGGGCGUCCCGACCUCACGUUCGAGUCCCGUCCGGUAUAAAGUUCAUGGUUUUUCCACGGGGAAAGGCAACGAGCCCCCGGAUUCGGCCGAACGGACCCGGGAACUAUAUGAACUGGCCGGCGGGAAAUUGUAGUACGCCACCAGCUUGGCCCGAGCCGGACCCCCCCGAACGGGGACCGGGACUCCACUCGAACCUACCUGUUCGCAGCUCAAAGCGAGCACCACGGUUCGUCCAACUAGGAUAACGUGGCACGGCUCAACCCCUCCGUCCUAGCGAACGGACGCUUGAGGGGCAACGACCAAAAGUCGACCUGGCCUCCCGACCGGUCUCCCGCAACGAGCAGGGGCUCGGGGGCUAGCAUCGCAACCAACGACCAUGCGUAUGGUCACGAUUCCCAGGCUCCCCGGCCAAACCGGGAUGAAGCAAGCGCACCAUAAACAAAAUCCACGGAGAAACGGCGAAAGAAGCCUCCGGAGGAGCACUUUUUGCUCCACCACAGGCUCGGGGGCUACUGUUGGGGGGAAAUAUUAACGAUCCCCUAAAUACCGCUUAAAGGAGCAGACGCGAAGGCCCGGGCCCACCUAAGCAUAAUCAAAACUCCGCCUCGCCCGACCGCGGCCUCAGGGUCAGGAACGCCCGACUCCCCUCCACGAGGUUUCCGCCUCGUCCGACUACGGCCCCAGGGUCGGAGGCGCCCGACCCCUCGCCACAAGGUUCCGCCUCGUCCGACCCCAAGCGCAAGGGUCGGGCUCGCUGGGGCCCCCAGGGCAGGCAUCCCCCUCGGAUGCGGACCAGGUGGGCAAGGUAAACAAAUGCUGCGGGUCCCUCCCCCGUCGGGCUCAUCAUAAAUGCGCCGCAGGCCUGGCAGAGGGAGGAAUGACCGUGCUCCUCACACAACCCGCCGCAAGUACCCAUGCACGACCAUACUCUACAAGCUACAGCGCUGGCGGCUCACUCCCAUUCGCCGCAGGGUACUCAUGGCCUGCGCCGACCGGAGCGGAGGAGAGACUCGCCUGUCCUCGGGCCCCGCGCACCCUCGGGUCCCGUGCGCCUGGCAGCUAGGAUGUGACGCCCUCUCUCCAGGAGCCAUCAUCAGAACGGCAGCAUCCACCGUCCUCCCCAACGGACACCGGGAUAACGACGAAACGCCCUCAUCAUAACCCGACGCCGACGGAUGCCGAAGGAGCUAUCUGUAGGGUGCGACGACAGUUGGCGCACGGCCGCCUCCCCCUCCGGCAUGCACGCCGGCGCUCGCCAGGAGCCGGCGGAGGCGUCGGGCGUCUAGGAACUUGUUCCUCCCAUCCUGCCGUAUUUUUUACCGUACUACGUUCACAUUUUACGGUCCUCUUCGCCCGAUCCCAACUGUAACUCUGGCCACUCCCCUUGCGAUAUAAAAGGAGGAAGACAGGGCCGGAGGGGGGAUCGGCUUCUUCCCCCUCAAGCCACAGCACGCUAGUACGCUCCCUGAGAACAUAGGCACAAAGAGACUUGGGACCAGUCCCUCUCUCGUCGGUCUGUAACCCCUACUACAGAACUCCGCGUGGGUAAUACGAGCAUUCACGAUACUGGACGUAGGGCUCCCUUUGCCCGAACCAGUCUAAUUCGUGUCUCCCACGCCACCAUCUGAGGCCUUACGCGCAUAAAAGAAAUUUACUAGUCUAAGUCUUGAUCCGCCAAUCUUGACAACGACAAAUCUAAAAAUCCAUAACUAAUUAAUUUUAAAUCAUAAAAGUUUGAAACUAUUACCCAUCAUCUUUUUCUAGAAUGUUACCUUUUAUGUUGGUUUUUUUGAGUUAUUUGCAUAUUAUUGUCCCCAUCUCUAGUGUUUUAUUGCUUGUAGUCAAACCUACUAUUUAUUUAUUGUUGUUUUGCAUUGUAUGAUUAUUGGAUGCUAUGCGAUACAAAGAUAAUUGUUCAACAACCAUAUGCAUCAUGAAGAAAUUUCCGGAUACGAUUGAUAUUAGUACAUUAUUAACUUCUUAUCAAGAAAUAUCAAUGAAGUGUUUUAUAUGAAUAUUUUUAAUGCACCUUGAGUUUUUGGAUAACCUUUUUCAUAAAAGUUAAUUAGAUGCAUUCUUAACUAAAUAAGCCAUUUGGUAAUUUUUCAAAAAUGUUUAUUUAGGUAACAGAAAAUUUAUUUAUUUAUUCUGGAAAAAGUUUUUUUUUAACGAAGUUAGCAAGGAAAGCACCUACCUAUUCUUUAAUUGUUAUUUUAGAUCCGUUUAAUUCGCUCCCACGAGAAGUUGAAUAUAGACCUGCAGGAUGUUACUCAGGUGCUCUAACCACUAGACUAGAGUCCCUUUCGCUUCUGAAAAAGGUUUUACAAAAAUCUUUUCCCUAUUAUCUUUUGUUAAGUCUGGGAUGUUGCCGCACGUGGGAAAGAAAGAACGGGAAACAUAGACCGAGACCGCUGCUGCGCCGCCACCAUGCUUCGCCGUUGGAGGGUUAGGGUUCGGGGUUUCGGGUUAUGGGUCAUCGAUGGCGCGGCUAUCUCCGAUGUGGCUGGGAUAUAUGGGAGGUUGACGGUGGCUAGGUAGCAGGCGGUGGUGGCGGGUUGUGUGCGGGAUGGCGGGACACCACCAGUUCCGAUUUGUGGAAGACAAUAGGUGGCCUCUAGAGGCAGCGGGGGAAUCUUGGUGAGCUUCCCGCGCGGGGCUGGGUUAGGGCGGCGAAGGAUGGUGGCGGUGGAUGUGGCAGCGCGAGCCGCCGGAGAUGAUGGAGGAUGGCGGCGCGGGCGCGAGCAAAGGAGGACAGUGCGAUGGUGAUCGAGGGUUGCGACCGGCGACGCCGGAUGCAGUGGCGAGAGCCGUCGGAGCUAGAGGAGGAGGGCAGCGCGGGGGCAUGGGCGUGCGCGCUCCUGGGCUGCCAUCACUGAAGGUGACAUUGGUGAUUUUUGUCACCUUCUGUGAUAUAUAGAUAUAGACAUGCUCUAGAUAGAGGACUCCUUGGAGAGACCCCGAGAAUGGAGAUGGGCAUUUGGAGCUCUUCCAAAAUAAGGAAUCUAGAGGACUUGCUAGAAUGCAUUUUUUUUGACUUGGUCCAUUGGAGUUGUUCUAAGCCAACAACUAUUAGCAUCCUUUUAGAUAACUCUGUUAAUCUGAAAUACAACAGUUUCCUACUUUAUGUAUAAUGAGUGUCAUUGCGUCACUACGUACGAGGUCUACUUUAUGGCGGAUCUGAAGGUGUGUUUGGUUGGGAUGUGGCUUUUGGAAAAGCUACUGUGAGCUGUGGGCUGUGAAAAAGUAGCGGGGAGAAAGCAGCUGUGGGAAAAGCAGAAGACCGUUUGGUUAGAGCAGCUACGAAACUGUAGGUUGUGUAAGAAAUACCUGUAAUGCCCCUAAAGGUCUGCGGGUGUGUUUACAUGCAAAUUGCUCAUAACAAAAUAAUGUGUUCACUAAUUCACAUGUAAAUGACUAUUUUAGAAAGGAAAAAAAAUAAAUUUUAUAUGUUCUUCAUCCAUAUAAGUGAUUGGUCCACAUAAAUAGAACAAUAUCCAUCAAAAGGUUUAUACAAUGAUGUCAUCUCUCAACAUUACUGUCCUCCUCUCGCACUAACCAAAGCAUCAACUAUCCUAGCAUGAAUGAUAUUCAUGGUAUCCUCAUUCUCCAUAUCGUCACUCUCAUCUCCUUGUGUUUGUCUCGUGCCACUUGUAUAUUGUACCAAGUACUCCUACAAAACCGAGUUAGUAAGGUACAUAAUAAUACACGUAUUUCUAACUUGAUGAAGGAAUCAUGUAUACCUUUAGGAGGCACGAGAAAUAUGUCUCAAAGCAUUGUCGAGAAAAUUGAAAGAAAAGAUGAUGAACAAAGGAGGGUCAAUUCUUGUUGCUCUUUGGACUAGAGGAUUGACGAUGAUCAUUGCAGUCCUAACAAUUCUCUUGUUGCAGAACAGAGUAGCAACUUCUGAGUAGCAUAUGAUUCUUACAUCUUCCAGGCGAGGUGGCUAGUGUGCUGGAUGAAGUUGAGGUCCCUUGGCAACCUGGCAAACGCCUCCGUCAUGUCUGCAGGCAAAAUUUCCAAAAAAAACAAGAAGAUUUCAACACCACCAACAAAGCAAGCAUGUAAUCACCUGAUUAAUCAAUCAGCAAACAAUUCACAACUAGCAAUCUGUAGAAAUUAGCACGCCAUUACCGUCCUGGGUGAUGAGCGGGUAGUCGGAUGCGUUGAGGUUGACGAACCAGUCCCAGCGGCGGUGAAGGCGGAGCAGCAACGCGACGGCGUGCAGCGUGGUGGUGAGCAUGGUGGGGCCCCGGUAGGUGACGAGGUUGGGCCUGCCGACGAUCCACACGUUGCCCGCGAUCGCGUACACACCCCACCUGGACAUGAGCUCUGCCAGCCGGCAGUGCUCCUCCCCUGGACCGCAGGUAGUUGUUGGCCGGGUGGUACAGUGCCGCCAGCAGCCGCAUCGUGCGGCCCACUUCCCCUGAGGAUGCCGAGAUAAGGUAUGCGAACGAGAUCGGGUACCGCGGCGCCUCGCCGGCGGCACCGUCGAAGGCGGCCAACGAUGAGAGUGUUGACGUCGGUUUUUGACACGUGUCAGGGUCGACGUCAAGAGGAGAAGAAAGUGGCUGAUGCGGUUAAACAAGAAGCUAUGGCUAGAGAAAUCAGUCAGUAAAGCUAUAGUGUUUCAGCCGAUUAGCUAAUGAGAUAGAUGAAGACUGGCCGAUUGGAAGCUAGAAAAGCUCGGCCGAUAUGGGCCUAAAUGGGCCAAGGUGGUAACAAGAUGAAGAUAGGAUUGGCCCAUAGAGGAUUGGAUGGUGUUCGACUCCGAUACAAGUUGUAUCCGUAUGUAAAUAUUUGUUGCUUUGAAUAAGAAAUAGAAUAUUGAGUCAUAGUCGGUUAGGAAACGAGUUGUAACAGGGUAUAAAUAGGUGCCCCGUGAGGCUGGCAAAAACAUCAACAAACAUCAAUACAAAUCUACUUUUUCAUGCAACUUUACUUUCAUGUCGGCGACUUUGCCAAACCCUUUUCUUUUCACGAGUUCGUGUGAGUUGGCAGGGCUGCAUCAACGUGAUCUCCGAGCAAUUUGUAAGUUCCGCGUUUCGAGUAAUAUAUAAGCUUUAACUUUGGGCGUAUCGCUGUUGUUUUGUUUAGAUUUAUUCACUAGUUAUCGAUAUUUGCUAGAAUUAUAGGUUUUAUUCUCCGGUGGAAAGAUUGUGCCUUUGCCUGUAUUUCUCUUGCACUAAACUCAGGCGAUACCUAUUAUCGGCGGAAUGUGUGGUCGCGUGUAAAGUUGAUGUUGUCAAGUAUAUGUUAUCACUGCCGAUCUUGAAGGGAAGGAUUGGAAAAUGUAUUCUGGCACUCUCAGAAUUCGAUCUCAGGUACGAAUCGGCCAAGGCCGUCAAGGGUCAGGUAAGGCUGAUUUCGUCACCCAACACUGUGGAUCAGAAAUUACUGUCGUUGAGCCGGCUCCAUGGACUCUGUACUUCGAUGGAUAUUCGUGUGGGAUUGGAUCAGGAAUCGACAUAAUUCUUAUAUCGCCUCGGGGGGCAAGUUAUGAGUUCUCUCUGCCGAUUGAGGCUUCCGCUACUAAUAAUCAAGCAGAAAAUCGGGCUGUCUUAAAGGGCAUCCAAUUAUUGAGGGAGGUCAAGGCUGACGUGGUAGAAAUAUUUGGGGAUUCCAUGAUUAUCGUGGAUCAGUUGAUUGCAAAGUGUGAGUGCAAGGAUGAUAUUCUAAGGAUUUAUUAUGAGGAAUGCCUCCGGUUGCUCAAAGAAUUCAAGACCGUAACUAUUGAACAUAUCCCUAGGGAUUACAAUGAGGAAGCCAAUAGACUUGCCCAGCACGCUUCUGGCUACUGGCCGAUUCAUGGCGCUUUCGCUCUAGAGCUGGCGGCCGACAACUGGAGGAAGGAGAUCGCCGAUUAUUUAAAGGAUCCAUCCAAGAAAGUUGAUCGGCAGAUACGCUUCCAAGCCACAAAGUAUGUGUUACUUGAAGAUGAAUUGUUUUAUCGGACGAUUGAUGGAGUGUUUCUCAAGUGCCUUAGCAUUGAGGAAGCAAAGAUUUUGAUGGGUGAGAUUCAUGAAGGUCUAUGUGGGACCCAUCAAUCGGCUUUCAAGAUGAAGUCGAUGAUUAGAAACAAUGGGUAUUACUAGCUGACAGUACUUGAAGAUUGUUUCAAAUAUUAUAAAGGCUGUCAGGAUUGUCAAAAAUUUGGCAACGUGCAACGAGCCCCGGCCUCGGCUAUGAACCCGAUAUUAAAGCUGUGGCCAUUUAGAGGCUGGGUAAUUGAUCUCAUCGGUUAGAUCUAUCUGCCGUCAAGCAAAGGGCAUAAGUUCAUAUUGGUGGCGAUUGACUACUUCACCAAGUGGGUUGAGGCGGUUCCUUUGAAUGUUGUGAUGUCGGCCAACAUGAUCGAAUUCAUGAAGGAGCACAUCAUUUAUCGAUUUGGUAUUCCUCAGACCAUCAUGAUUGAUCAGGGGUCAAUGUUUACCUCAGGGAGUUCGAGGAGUUCACUGCCAGUAUGGGAUUAAGCUGUUGAAUUCUUCUCCGUAUUACGCUCAGGCCAAUGGUGUGACGACCCCGGUUAAAUCUUUCGAGUUAAUCUUAAUACGAGCCCCAAAAUUCCUCUGUCUCAGUUUUUCCCGAGCAGGAGUGCUCCACUCCAGUUCCUGUUCCUGACCCGUGAAGACUCUAACUCACCCCGCCAGUUCCUUUUAAGUCUCAACAACAGUGUCCCUUUCAAUCUUGAACAGAGGAAAGACCGAGACUGACGGAUGGACCCGCAAUCUUUUCCCCGGAUCUCCCGAGGCAUACGCACUCGAGCGGCCUGCACCGCUUCAGAGCUCCCCCGCCGCGUGGCUCAACUUCUCCGACGCCCGCCGCUUCACCCAAUCGCCGGCCGGGACAGGAUAGAUUCUCACGCCCUCCUCCCCAAUCGCAGCGGAAGCCCCUCUGCAACCCUUUCUGCUGCGCCUCGUCUCGCUCGCGCCCUCGCCGGCCGCGCCUUGGUGCUCCGACACCGCUGUGGCAGAGCUUUGCCGCUUGCUGCAUCCAAACUACCUCGCAGCUCACGCCCGUCAUCAUCUCACUGGAUCCCCGACUGCAAGGCCCGAUGCCUUCCGACUUUUCCACCGCCUCUACACAGUCGCGCUCGCCUGCGCAGCCGCAGCCUGCCUAUCUUUUCACCGGUUGCAACCUCGCUUGUAGCGCCGUUCUCCCUGUCACACCCAUCAGAUCCGCCGCAUGACGACGCCCGCCUCCGCCAAACCUCAACUACCGGCAAAACCGCGCCUGCGCCGCCUUGUCUCCCGUGCCCAAUAGCCAAGGACCCUAUCUCCGAAAUCCUGUUCCGCCGCCCAUCGACGCCCAGUCGCCGCCAUGGCAGCGCACUCCAUCCUUUUCUUCCGGUCUUCGUGCUACUCCAACUCCCUCUCUCUUUCGCGCAGCUAUAAAAAGGAAUGCCAGAGCCCUACUGGAGAUCCCUUCACCAUCGUUGCCUCGCCGCCUUGUUCCUGAGCGCCGCCACCUAAGUUCUUGAGGAACUCUCAUCUUCGCUCAACACCCGCCCCUCCCAAUCCACCAAGCCGCCUGCUCCUCCACGCUAUGCUAGAGCUUCCUUGUUGCUCACAAGAAGCUCCGCCGCCGCCGGAGCACCGCCGGACAUAGCCGCCACCAAAGCCUUAGUGCUUAAGACCUUCCGCCCAAGUCUACUCCUUCCCGACCCCAAAGCUUCACCUAUAAACCAAAGGUAAGCUGCCGACCCCUUACCGGUUCGCCCGACCCUACCUGUUCGCCUGACCCUACCUGUUCGCCCGACCCCUCUUUCCAUCUCGCCCGACCCUGUCUGUUAGCCGGCCCUUAUCUUCUUCGCCCGAGGACUCGGCUGUACUCUUUUCCUUGACCCGAGGGUAUCUGUGUAAGAUUUCGGGGACUUCUCUGUAAUAGCUUUGAGGACCCCAAACACAUUAAGGCUUAUGGGUCAGAUCAUAAGUUCUUCCAAUUCGACCCUUGGUCUUGUUCUCUAUCCACUGAAGCUUGAACCCCCACACUCUUUCCGUAGCUUUGCUACAAGUUUCUGGGCUAAGACUUGCGAGUGUUGCUGUUGAAAUAACCGUCUAGACACUAACUCCAGCAUUGCAUUCGUGUAGAGUUUCAUCUUGCUGACGGCGUCUACGAACUACACCCGGUGCCAGAAGACGGAGCUGUAGCUGAGCUACCAGUUCCAGAAGCCGAAGUCGCACCAGCUGAAGACCCGCUUCCCUCCCCUCCACUUGAAGGCAAGUCCCGGAGCAUGAACCCCAAAGUUUCCCAAACUUGCGCAUGCCUUCUUUCUCAUGUUUGUGCAUUUACGUAUAGGAGUUGUUUGCAACCUUAGAUGCAUGGUAUAGUUCCUUGAUCGGAACACUAGUUGUUGAAUCGAGUAGUUGCUAUGCUUAAAUAGGAAGUGGUAAAAGUCGAGUGAUUUCCUGUCACUCGCGAGUUAUAGGAGUUGGUUGUUCUCCUUCUGUUACAACUAUAAGGACGAUGGAUGGGGCAAGGUUUUGGUUAACUCUUUUGCUAGUCGGCUGAUCCCCCCGUCUGUCUAUGGAAUCUGUUAAGGCCCGAUAGUGGUGGUGUUCGUGAUCAAGUGUUUGAAAGUACUAAUCUCAUACCUAGUAUGGGAUGGGGAAGCCUAGUACCUGAUUGAACUAGGGCGUGGCUUAUACCCCUGCUGUCCCUGGAACGAGGUUCCCAUGGUGCAUCAUGUGGGUGCAAGUGCGGUCACAGUACGGUAGAGGCCGGGAUUGUGGAGCAUUGCAUGCCAAGGGAAGUUGGACCUGACACGUGCCUGGGAAUUGAUGGGGACGGCUGACACAGGAAGCGACCCUUGUGGUGCGCGGAUGUCGUGAGAUUAGGUUUGCCAUGCAUGGUUAAGAAACUCGAAGGAUUCGUCUGCCUCUCACAGUUUGAGACUGCUUGAUCGCUAUGCUACACUGAUUAAUGAAAGAGUCUGAUGAUGACAUGGUCUUGAUGAGUAGCUUAUAUACAUAAAGUUGGAUCUAUGUUUGCUUAGAGUAAGAUGCCAACGUAGACUGGUUAAUGAACUUAGAAUUUGAGCUAAAACUUGAAAGCAAGGACCUAACGUAGUAGCUUUUGGCAAACAAAACCCCUCAGCCAAAGAGCCUUGCAUGUCUAGACGUGGUGGAGUAGUUUUACCACCGGUCGGUUAAGUCUUGCUGAGCGUAGCAGCUCAACCUUGUUUGUGGCUUUCUUUUCAGGUGAAGUCGCAGCUCCUGAGUUUGCUUCCGUUGGCACUUGGCCGCCCCAGCUCCCUCCGGGUUGGACGGUUGAGUGGGAUCCUUCCUCGGACGGUGAGGAGAGGGAUCAUUGAUGUCCUGAUCGGCCUCAUUAGGGACAUCCGACCCUGGCGCUAGCUUCCGCUAAUUUAGCUUUCCGCUGCUUUUGAAUCUUGUAAAACUCUGAUUUUUGUUUUUAUGUUGAACUAAAUUGUCAAACUUGUUUAACUCAGUGGAUCUGUUGUAUUCUCUGAAACCGCUCACCUUCGUGUGAGUUUCGCUAAUCCGGUCCUGUAAGUGGUUUAAUCGGAGGAAAUCCGACGGCCCUUCGAGUUAACUUGACUAAGGCAUAAGUGUCGCGUGUCAGGCGACUUAACAAUGCUUUAAUCAAGGUAAUCCGAGGUGGUUCCACCACAAAUGGUCAGGCCAAGUCAUCAAAUAAGGGGGUUAUUAAACUGAUUAAAAGGAAGGUCAAAAAACAACCAAGACGGUGGCAUACAACGCCGAAUGAGUCCUUAUGGGCUUAUCGGAUGGCUUGCCGCGGUGCCACCAAGGUGUCCCCUUAUCAGUUAGUAUAUGUGCAUGAAGCAGUAUUACCUUGGGAGUUGAAGACUGGGUCUAGACGUGUGUCACUUCAGAAUCAGUUGUCGGUUGAUGACUAUUCCGCCCUCAUGAGGGGAGAAUUGGAAGAUUUGGCGAAUCAACAGCUAAGGGCUUUGAUCAGCAUUGAGGAAAAUAAGAAAAGAGUCACCAGGUGGUAUGACAAGAAGGUCAAGGUCAAAAGGUUUUCCCAAGGGGAUUUAGUCUGGAAGUUGGUUCUGCUGAUAGUAUGGAAAAUGGUCGCCCACUUGGGAAAGGCCAUAACGGAUUAGCCAAUGUGCUCUAGGCAAUGCAUACAUACUGGAGACUUUUGAGGAAGAAGAAUUUACAAGGGCCUUGAAUGGAAGAUAUUUGAAAAGAUACUACCCUAGUAUAUGUGUAGGCGCUUAGCCGAUGAUGUGGCAUAACGGGCUUUCACGGUCGACGCGUACUGAUUCGUGUUCAUAUAGCCGAUGCAAGGGGCAUCGCCUUAAGAUUGAAAGAGGCGAAAUAGUGUAUAUAUAACUAAACCGAUCAUUAUUCGGUACACCAACUAAAUAUAUGGCCGGCAUGAUACAAGUCGCCCUUAGAUAAAAAGUACCGACACAGUUAUGGGUUACAACGAUUUAACAACGUUUCAUGUGAGCUUUAUUCAUAUCGAUUUCUUUCUGAAGUCGAUCCAAUUCGAUCUGGAGUCGGGCGUUCUUCUCCUCUAGUUCUGCCAUGUCAUCUUCAACAGCAACUUGACAGGGUAACAGAUGGCUUCUUUCGACUGAUUGCCGUGGUUGCCUUCUAGAAGCUUUAGCCUCGAUGUCAUCCACAAUCCUCUUGAUAUUCACGGGGAGGUGAUCUCUGAGUUCCUCACGAUGAGUUUGGAUCAGGUCUUUGUCAGCCUGAGUGAGCGGUUCAUCGGAGUGGAGGAUCUCAAUGGCUCGUUCAAGAUCACGGCUGAGUCGGUUUGGCUACGAGAAGAAUUGAUGAUCAAUUGACAGAGGGAUUGGUCGAGAGAUAGGAGAUUGACUUCGUACCUGAUUGACAGAGGAGGAGGAGGCCAUCUUGGUCGCUCGAUCGAAGAUUUGUAAGCGCGCGCAAGGAAUGGUUGAGUGGGUGUUUUGCGAAUGCCUUCAGAAGGGAUGCGAAGGGUUUGUACUUAUAGAACAGAAUGGCAAUGGACAAAGGUCGGUAAAAGGAGGGCAUUUAAAGAAAGCGACCGUUGAGUCAUAAAAGCUACGUGAGGACUGUUCAGACUUGCAUUUCAGACAAAAACGCCAAAAGUAUCAACGUUACACAAGAUGUUCAAAGGCUGGUUGAGUUCGUUACAACUAUCCGAGGAGAUUGUUUAUGGUCUCAAUCGCUCGCAGGCGAACUUGGUUGGCCACCUCCAACACUCGCCGAUCAUCAUCGGCUGAUCCUAAGACUUCUGGCGCAUUGCGAUGAAGAUGGAUGGCCUCGUGAGUGAGGGAUUGUCUUUCUUGUUUAAAAUCAACGAUGGCGGUUGGAAGAUCUUCAAGUUUCUUUUCUUCGGUAGCGAUAGCCUUUACGACCAGUUCCAUCUCCUUGGUGAGCUCUGCUCUGCGCCAUUUGAGUUGGUCUAUUUCACUGAUGAUGCUUGGAUGAGAAGUCUCAUGGAGACCGAUCUACCGAUGUACGUGUUGUGCACGGUGCUUGUAGGACUCUUCUUCUUGACGCACCAUCUCCAAUUUAGCACGGUCAGCCAUGUGUCGCAAGGCUCUAAACACCGGGACCCGCAUGGUUUCGAUAUAUGCUGCGGGUGUGAGAACCUCUUCUGCGUCUUCUGGGACUUGGCCUUUGAUCUCGUUGAAAAUCCACCGUAUCAGUUUGGCAUCUUCCACCAAUCGACCGAUGUUUUCCUGAAGAAGGGUUCGCAUGUUUUGGAGCUUGGCACGGACAUCUUCUGGUAUUGAGCUCAGAGUUAUUUGGCGUGAUGCAACUUCUUCGUCAUCAGAGACCGCAAUUGCAGAGGAGAAGAGGCUUUUGUUUGGCGUGUCUUACUCCUGCAGGGAUGUGGGAAAGUGUUUUAGCCGAUAAAAGUAAAAAAUCGGCUGGUAGAUAUAGAAGGUUCUUACCUCCUUCAAACAAAUCUCUUCUGCUUGGGUUGGCAGAGUCGUUACUCCCACCUCAGAAGUUUGCGGAGGUAGCUCAUUAGAGGGGGAAGACUUGACAAUGAUCGGCUCUCUAGGCGUAGCUGAUAAUGUGCUUGGACCAGCCUCCUGGAAAAGGAACAAAGGAAUCAUUUUUGAGUAUAAAAUAAUACUGGAUCUAAGUAGAAGUCUCGGUUUUCUUACCUCUCGGACGCGCGCAGCCAACGGUAGCACCAGGGGAAUGACUGACGUAUCUGGAGCGUCCUGUGUCAAGAAUCGUCUGAUUUUAGUUAUCAGAACUGUGGAGACUAAGGGAAGAGCAUGUUCUUUACCUCAAUUUGAAGAUUUGUAGGUAACACAAUUUUAGCUUGAGAAUCGGCCAAUUAAGGAACAGUCUGCUCUAGGAUAGGUUGUACGGCCUGUUGAAAAGAAACAAAUUUAGUAUUGGUGAUACAUAUGAAGAAGUCAGAGCAGAAAGAUUACUCGUGUAGCUUUCACCAAGAGUAACACAAUCGCCGACCCAGCCUCUGAUGCUGCUAGGGGAUCAAUGUCCUGAAUUGCCGACAAUACAUCUGCUUGGAUUGGUGCGGCUGAGGGCUCGACCGAUGUUGCUGCCGAUUGGUGGGUUGUUCGAGUUGUCGUAGAUUCAGUACGAGCUCAUACCCUGCGACUCGUCUUCUUUGUGGUGGAUAUUUUGAGCUUAUGCUUCAAUCGGUUGGUGGCUAUGUCCUCCAUUGAUGGGGCGUGAUAGCCGAUGAGAGGGUACGGUGUGUACGGAUGAUGGGUCUGUAUCAGUCUGCCACUCUAACUGUGCGUUGGAGGCACUUGGCUAUCAACCUGUGCAGGGUAAAAGGAUAAUGAUAAGAAAGUUCUGCAACAUGUGAAAAUUAUUGGUAAGGAAUCGACAAAAAAGUAUUGUUACCUCUGCAUUCGGAUCAGUGUGAGCGGGGUCCAGUUGAUUGCAAUACACUGCAGGGGCCGCACAGGAAAGGUACUGUUUCCACUCGGCCCACCACAAUUUGAAUUGUUGAGUGGAGAAGGGGACCACCAGCCAAGCGCUCAGAUCGAUGGUGUCGGAAUCCGGUGUCAGAUUACACAAUCUGUUGUAUUCCAGUCCUUUUGAAAUCGGUUCUCAAAAUUUCACUCGGCCGACGAAGUGAAUCCGAUUGGUAUUUGUCCCAAGCCAAAUUGCCGAGCUGCUACCGACGGGUUAUAGAACUCAUAUGUUGGAGAGUCCUUGCCAGAGAAGAAAUUUGCCGGUAGAAUCCCAGGUUGAUCAGGGUGUCCAUGAUUCCUUCAUCGAAGGUAUCGGUAGCCUAGUCAAAACAGUCAGGAUUCUAAAAAGUUGGGUUCUCUCUCUGAUAUGGAUACCAAUUCGUCACCUCUUCUUUAAAGCUGUUGUAAAAGCAUCUAAAGUGCUCGGCUAUUCUUGAGGGGGCAAGCUUGCCGCCUGGGAAAGUGGAUACGGCUUCACUAAAGGAAGUACAGCGGCGUCUGGCCAAUGGGUCGGUUUCUGAUUUAACAUUAGGAAAGUCUUGGUCUCAAUCCGCUCCUUGAAGAUUUCGCUCAUAUAUAAGUUGAGCUAGAGAUUGACAAACCACCAAGGACCACCAGGAUUCCUGAUAGGUUCUCCAGAUGAUAGCUUCACGCCGAUGUGAUGCAGCAUGUAAUACACUGACCCUAGUAGAUGCUUUCCCAAAGGGACUGUGGCUCCUCUAACUAGUGCUUCGGCCAAAGCCUGUGUGUUGGAAGUAGGACUGGCUAAUUUACCACAGAAGACAUACCUUUCCUGCCACAUCAUCAAGAAGGUCGUGUGCUCUUUUUCUGUGUUGGGUCCGGUCCUCAUGUUCUUCUCAAUGUAGCCUUUCCAUGUGCUGAUGGCUUUCGUCUCCAGCCGAUGGGUGGGUUUGAUUAAGAAAUCGAAAGGUGAGUCGGUGGAGGAAACAUCGAGGCCAGUCAGCAUCAGAACAUCGGCCAGGGUUGGAGUCAUUGGCCCAUGGUCGAAAAGAAAUGCAUUGAGAGCAUCGGACCAAAAGUAAGAUGCCGCGAUGAGCAGAGAUUCUUUCUUUUCCAUAUGAGAUAGAGAUAAAUUUCUGCAAUGGCCGAUUUUUCGCUCAUCCCAGAAGACUCUGUUGGAAUUUGACAUUCUAAAAAACCAAUCUCUCCAUCCGGGGGUUUGAUUCGGCCAAGACUUGAAAGUGUUCGCCCAAUUGUCUAGUUCCAUGGUCGAUUGCUUAAAAGGGAUCCUGUGAGUUUCUAGUUUAAUCAGAUCGGUUGGGUUAGGAUCUCCCAUAGAGCCAAGAUCGAUGAAUCCAGGGGUGUUGGCCAUGGGAUGGUGAUUCUUUGCCUGAGUUCUUGAGCAAAUGCGAAGAAAGACUAAGAACAGAUCUAAAAUCGCGAAAAGAUGAGGAGAGCCUAGAAGACUUACCUCAGGAACGAAGGUCAUGGUAGCUAUGGGUGCCACCAUUGGAGCUUGGGAGUUGGUGCGGUCGGUGAAGGACGUGAGCAAGUCACUGGAGUGCGCUGGGAUGUGCCUAGAAGUGGCACGAGCAAGGUCGCUGGGGUGUGCCGGGAGAUGAUUCGCUGGAAAGGAAACCCUUUUCGCCCGGAGGAAGAUGAAGCGGCGGAAGAGAUGAGUAUCUGCACGAUGACUCGGGAGAAGGGUAAAUAUGAAAUUUUUACCACGCCGUCUGCGCUAAUUUCGAAAGGAGCGGUUGCCUACAGGUGCUCAGUUCGAAAAAAUGCAAUCAUCAAGGAGAAGAUUUCGGGAGCAAAGAGGGUUUUGCUGCAUUUAUUGUUGCGUCUUUUCUGAAAGAAGGAAUCAGAGUUGAGAAAAUUUCGGAGAAAAAGAUAUGUUUCACUAUGAAGCUGGGAGGCAUGUGUUGAUGCCAGUUUUUAACACGUGUCAGGGUCGGUGUCAAGAGGAGAAGAAAGUGGCCAAUGCGGUUAAACAAGAGGCCAUGGCUAGAGAAAUCGGUCAGUAAAGCUAUAGUGUUCUGACCGAUUAGCUGAUGAGAUAGAUGAAGACUCACCGAUUGGAAGCCAGAACGCUGGAUUUUGACACGUACUUGAAAUCGGUGUCAAAGAAGGAGAAAGGGGGGCCGAUGCGGCGGACUAGAAGCUACAGUUGGGAAUCGGCCGAUUGAAGCUACAAUGUUUCAGCCGAUUGGCGGAAGAAAUUGGUGGAGGCUGGCCGAUUGGGAGUCAAAGCAGUUUGGCCGGUUUGGGCCUAAGGUGGGCCAGGAUGAAUAUUUGCUGAAGAGACAGGCCCGUGGGAAAAUAAUAACCAACUCGAAUACGAGUCGUGUUUGUAACUAUUUGUUGUCGUUUGAAAUUAGAGAUAGAUUCUAGUCGGUUAGGAAAUCAGUUCCAACACGCUAUAACUAGCUACCUCGAGAGGCUUGUAAAAAAAACAACACAUCAAUCAAUACAAAAAAAAUUACUCUUUCCUCGUACUUUACUUUCAAGUCGGCGACUUCGCCAAAACCUUUUUCUUUCACGAGUUCGUACGGAUUGGCAGGGCUGGAUCUACAGGAUCUCCGGCCGAUUCUGUAAGUUCCACUUAUCGAGUAAUACUAAGCUUUAACUUCGGGCGCAUCGCUGUUAUUUUGUUUAGAUUUAUUCACCAGUUAUCGAUAUCAACUAGAGUCAUAGGUUUUACCUGUUAUUUUAGUUUUUAUCACCAAUUAUCCAUCUUGAGGUACGAACUGUCGGUUUUUAUUAUUCUUAUCCUUUAUCAUCACAUAGCCGAUUAGAUCUACUCCAAGUUUUGCUUCUGUAGUGUUGUUUAGGUUGCUGUAAAAGUUUUCCUUAUGAUUGCUACAUGAGUAUCGGCUGUCUUAUAGCCGGUCAUCUCUACGGUAAAUCGGCCGAUUCGCUGAUACGCUCUUCAAGACAGAUCGGAACUCUAGCCGAUCGAAACCCCUAGAAUUUAAUAUUCUUCUUUCCAUGUCAAUCAUUAGGUCAGAUUGACUGGCAUGCCGCGCGAACCGCACUAGGGCAAUAACUCGAACAGGAGCUAAGUAGAUUCUCCUGGGUCGUGUGUCCGACGCUGAGGGUCAUCGGCCAAUUUUCAGCACCAACACACUUUUGGCAUGCCCGGUGGGACCAAACAAGAUCCAACAUGUCGAAGGCUGCUGAGAUCUUUGAAGAUAACGUCCUUGAAGUCAUUGAAGAAAAUCUCAAGGACGAUCAGAAGGAGGAACUGGCGAGGGCUAUAGAAGAAUACAGGAAGACAUGCCUGCAAUCUUUCAUUCGUACCAGAAGCGGGGAGACAGUCAAGAAAGCUCCUCUCUCCACUUCCCGCCAAAUCACCGUCAUCGAGGACUCAGGGAAGAUGUCUGAGAUGAUUCAACAGUCCGUUUAUCAGGCUAUGAUUGACCAAUCCACGGUGAUGACCAACACUGUAUACAACGCCAUCAUCAGCUCCUUGGUUAGCGGCGUAGCUCAGGGGUAUCAGGGACUAGCGUAUGCUCCUCCCAUCGUGGCACCGAUCAGAGGCUUCUUAGCAGCGCCAAACGUGUGUCACUCGACUCCUCAACUAAUGCAGAUGCAACGUGGAGGGUACUACACUUCAAUGCCCCUGGGGUACAAUGGUGCAUCAUUCUAUCAAUCGCAAGAACCGUCUCAUCCUAUGCCAAUUUCAUCCAUACAAUCGCCGCUCUCAAACUCGGCGCCAUGGGGGGUAGCAGCAGCAACCGCCGGUCUGGAUCCGUCAACCAGUUAUGGAAAGUCUCCAGUCCAGGCGUUAUUCCAAUCGGCCGAGGCCGAUAGCCCCGCAAUACCAAACAACCACUUCAGAUAUCGGCAGGAGGACAGGCGCUCUAGAAACACUCAGGGUUGCGGCGUCGAUAAUAUUGUACGAUGAAGUGACAGAUACACUAUGUCAGCAGCCAUCGGCUACUCAGCCGACAACCCAGCCACAAUAUCUGCAGAACACUCCAGUUUAUCACCCGAUCAUGGAACCGCAAAUCCAACAGCACGUACCGAUUCCUCAGCCGGUCGUGCAUCAGCAGCAGGUUGAUUGGACCGCGAAGAUAGCAGAGGUAAUUCAAGAUCAGUUUGUGUUAAAAGCAAAAGUACAAACUUACAUGUACAAGACGCCAUACCCACUUGCCUACGAUCUGUUACCGUUCCCUCAUCGGUACAAAGUCCUUGACUUCACCAAGUUCUCGGGCCUAGACGACACGUUGACUGUCGAGCACGUUAAUAGGUUCAUCAUCCAGUGCAGGGAGGCUGCUACGCAAGAUGCUUUGAUGGUGCGCUUGUUCUCGUCAUCCCUAUCCGGAUCAGCCUUGCAGUGGUUCACUACACUGCCGCCCAACGCCAUCGUUACCUUGGCCGAUUUGGAAAAGCAAUUCCAUAAGUACUUCUAUGCGGGAAUCCACGAGAUGAAACUCUCAGACCUAACUAGCCUCAAGCAAAGAAGCGAUGAGUCGAUGGCCAGCUACAUACAGAGGUUUAGGAAAGUUAGGAACAAGUGCUACACCUUGGUCUGGACUGACACCCAACUAGCCGAUAUCACCUUCCAAGGACUCCUGCCACACAUCAAAGAGAAGUACGCCUCCCAGGAGUUCGAAAGCUUGAGCCAAAUCGUCCAUCGGCUGUCCGGCCAAGAGAUACACCCUUUCGACCAACGAAGGAACUUUCAAAAGAAGGUAGCUUAUGUGGAAGGGUCUGAAUCGGGAGAGAAGGCGGAAAUCGGCCUAGCAGAGUCGGUAAAAGGAAAAAAGCCGAUAUCAUGCCCGUUUGGAAAAAAGGAACCAGAAACAUUCGGCUUUGACACGUCAAAAGCCGACAAAGUCUUCGACUUGCUGCUUCAAGAGGGGCAGAUCAAACUUUCGCCUUACCACACCAUUCCGUCGGCCAAGCAGCUCAAAAAGAUGAAAUACUGCAAAUGGCACAAUACCACAUCCCAAGACAAAAAUGAGUGCAAGAUCUUCCGACAAUAGAUACAAUUAGCCAUUGAGCAAGGAAGACUCAAGUUCGAGGUUCCAGCAAAACCAGUGAAGCCGAUGAAGAUUGAUCAACAUCCCUUCCCCGCCAACAUGGUCAAUGUAGGAAGAAACGCACUCCAAACCAAAGUUUUGAUGUUAGAAUUGGCCAGGAGAAGCGGUGCAGUGGAUCCCAAAAAUCAGGCCACGAUCGGAGAUGUCAAAGGAAAAGGACGGAUGGAAGAAGAAGGUGAAGGAUCAGAAAGGCCACGUCGGCCUGUCACUUCCCAAGACUUACUCAGCAAGUAUCAGCAGCAGCGGGAAGAUUCAAGACGCCACGAAGAGAUGAUGCGCCGACACGAAGAUCACUGGAGGUGCCCGUUUUUCAUCCACUGCUGGGAGAAUAACCUUAGAUUACCGUCGGCUGAUAAUUGCCCUGAGUGCAACGGCCAGUAUCGCAGUGGUCGUCCGUUCAAUAGAUCACGCUCCAAGGAUCGAGGGCUAGAGCCAAUCAGCAGAAAGAGGCACGAGCAAGGAGAUCGGCGCGUUUCAGUGCGUGAUCGGCUGGGGGGUAGAGUUGACCAGCAUAAUCGGCUGGGGGGCAGAACCAGCGCACAUGAUCGGCUGGGGGGUAGAACCAGCGCACAUGAUCGGCUGGAAGAGAUAGCUGACGCCAAAGUCUCAGAUGAGAACCUCCUAGGGUGAGAAUCAGGCUGGGAGCGUGCAAAGCCGCCGAGUAAACCAGUAAACCCCAGAUGGUGCCCAGCCGGUUUGACUAAGUCCUUGAAACGGAGGGUCCAGCGUUUGCACCAAUGGGAGCAGCAAGAAGAAAAACAAAGGUAGGUGAUGGAUAACAAAGGGGACAGGUCUCGAGUAUGGCGUCCUAGAAGAAAAUCCGACGCAGGAGACUAAAAUCAUGAUUCGACAGCUGACUUCAGCAUGAUGUUCAUCUUGCCGAUGGAGUUCAUGCCUCCCGCCGACCGGGACAAUGCGAUAGAGAUAGAGGAGCAAAUGGCACAAUUGGCUCUGGAGCCAAUGACCGCCACUUUUGAGAAACCCGAGGAUUAAAAACGCCAACAUCUCAAGGCCCUGUUCCUCAAAGGACAUGUCAACGGACGACCAGUCACCAAGCUGUUGGUAGAUGGAGGCGCUGCUGUGAACAUCAUGCCCUAUGCUAUGUUCCGCAAAUUGGGCAAAGGUAAAGAAGAUCUAACAAAGACGGAUAUAAUGCUCAAGGAUUUCGAAGGCAACGUAUCUCCGGCCCGAGGGGCACUCUGCGUCGACCUCACCAUCGGGAGUAAGGCCCUACCCACUAUUUUCUUUGUUAUUAAUGGCAAAGGCUCCUACAACAUGUUGCUCGAGCGAGAUUGGAUCCACGCAAACUGCUGCAUCCUGUCUACGAUGCACCAAUGCCUUGUCCAAUGUGUCGGCGACAACAUCGAAGUAGUCAUCGCCGAUUCCACCUAUAGCGUUGCCACGGCCGACGCACAACAGUGGAGCUACGAUCACGUCAAAUUCAAAUAUGGUAGGGUUUGGGACACCAAUUUCCUAAAGGUGUCCGAUUUCGGUCUACAGCCAAUCCAAGCAGUCAGCUCUAAAGAAUCAAGUUAAAAUGGAUCAGUUCAUCUGAGAAGAUGGGAAGCUCGGGCACGGGUUUACGUCGGCCGAUUCAUUGGAGAUGGUGGACCUUGGAGAUGGCAACAAGCCAAAGCCGACGUAUAUUCGUGCUAGGUUAGAACCCGAGUAUAAGCAUGAAUUAAUGAGUCUUUUACGAGAAUUUAAAGAUUGCUUUGCUUGGGAGUAUCAUGAGAUGCCUGGUCUAGACCGGUCCAUCGUCGAACACCGGUUGCCUAUAAAACCAGGGCAUUGGCCGCAUCAGCAACCUGCACGACGUUGUAAUCCUAAAAUUUUACCUGAUAUAAAGGCCGAGAUUACAAGAUUAAUUGAAGCAGGGUUUAUUCGGCAAUGUCGCUAUGCCGAGUGGAUUUCCAAUAUUGUGCCCGUAUACAAGAAAAAUGGAAAGUUACGUGUGUGCAUUGACUUCAGGAAUGUUAAUCAGGCUAUGUCGAUGGAUGGAUAUCCGAUGCCGAUGGCUGAUGUUUUAAUAGACGCCACCGCAGGACACAAAGUCAUCACCUUCAUGGAUGGUAAUGCUGGGUACAAUCAGAUAUUAAUAGUCGAAUAAGAUAUUUCAAAGACGGCUUUCAGAUGCCCAGGCCACCUCGGUUUGUUCGAGUGGGUAGUAAUGAGUUUCGGUUUAAAAAAUGCUGGAGCUACGUACCAACGGGCUAUGAAUUAUAUAUUCCACAAGCUUAUUUGUGUCCUGGUGGAGAUCUACAUUGACGAUGUCGUGGUCAAAUCAAAAGGGUAUCAGGAACACCUGGCCGAUUUGCGAAAAGUGUUGGAAUGCACAAGAAAGCAUGGGUUGAAGAUGAAUCCAAACAAAGUGUGCCUUCGGCGUUUCGGCUGGACAGUUUCUGGGAUUCAUGAUUCACGAGCGAGGCAUCGAGAUCAAGCGAAAAAUUAUAGUUGCUAUCAACAAAGUCGUGGGCCCCCAGAAUAAGACUGAGCUACAGUACUUAAUCAGCAAGGUUAACUUCAUCCGACGGUUCAUAUCUAACUUGUUCGGGCGUAUUCAAGCUUUCACCCCUUUGUUGAAAUUAAAACCCGAUCAAGAAUUUGUAUAGGGUAAGGAAUAGCAGAAAACAUUAGAUGGCAUCAAACAAUACCUAGUCUCGCCACCAGUAUUGGUUCCGCCGCAGGCCAACAAGCCAUUCAAAUUAUACCUAUUGGCUGAUGAACGAGCUAUUGGGUUGGCGCUGGUCCAGGAAUGUGAAGGAAAAUAAAGAGUAAUCUAUUAUGUCAACAGAAGACUCCUGAACGUUGAAACUAGAUAUCCUCCGGUGGAACGGCUGUGCCUUUGUCUAUAUUUUUCAUGCACCAAACUCAGGCACUAUCUGUUAUCGGCAGAGUGCAUAGUCGUUUGCAAAGAUGAUGUGGUCAAGUACAUGUUGUCAUUGCCGAUUUUGAAAGGGAGGAUUGGAAAGUGGAUUCUAGCUCUCUCAGAGUUCGACCUGAGGUACGAAUCGGCCAAAGCUGUCAAGGGGCAAGUAAUGGCCGAUUUCGUGAUCCAGCACUGUGGACCAGAAAUUACUGUCGAACCAGCUCCGUGGACACUAUACUUUGAUGGGUCUGCGUGUGGGGCCGGAUCGGGAAUCGGCAUCAUCCUCAUAUCGUCUCGAGGGGCAAGUUAUGAUUUCUCUCUGCCGUUUGAGGCGUCCGCUACUAAUAAUCAAGCGGAGUAUCGGGUUGUUCUAAAAGGUAUCCAAUUAUUAAGAGAGGUCAAAGCUGACGUGAUGGAAAUUUUUGAGGAUUCCAUGCUCAUUGUAGAUCAAUUAACUGGAAAGUCUGAAUGCAAGGAUGAUAUCUUGAGGAUUUACUACGAAGAUUGCCUCAAGUUAUUGAAGGAGUUCAAGUCUUUGAUUAUUGAGCAUAUUCCCAGGAAUUACAACGAAGAAGCCAAUAGACUUGCCCAACAUCCUUCCGGGUAUCGGCUGUGUUGACGCCAGAUUUUGACACGAGUAAAAUCGGCGUUAGAAGUGGAAGAAAUUAGGAGAUGCGGCGAGAUACAAGGGCAACGAUUGGAAAUCGGCCGAUUGGUGCUACAGUCAAGGAUCGGUUGGUUGGUGCUGCAGUCAAGGAUCGGCCAAUAGAUGCUACAGACGAGGAUCGGCCGAUUGAUCCUUAGAGUUCCGCCUCGCACGACCCCUGGUUUGGGAUCGGACACGCCCGACCCUCCAAGGGAGGAUCUCCGCCUCGCCCGACCCCUGGUUUGGGAUCGGACGCGCCCGACCCUCCAAGGGAGGAUCUCCGCCUCGCCCGACCCCUGAGGUUUGGGAUCGAACGCGCCCGACCCUCCAAAGGAGGAUCUCCGCCUCGUCCGACCUUAGUUCCCAGGGUCGAAAUGAGUCUGAGCCCUCGAUAUGUGGGUCCUGAUCGGUUACCCCCCUUGCCAAAGAGGUGAUCGGCCGAUUAGGAGGUUGGAAUAGUUGGGCCGAUGUGGGCUCAAGAAGGAUUAUGAAGAUGAAGAGGGGGUCAGCCCAUGAAGCGCGUGAAAAUAGUACGAAUCGUACUUGUAAAUAUUCGUUUUCUGUUUAAAUUUAGGGAUAGAGUUCUAGUCGGAUAAGAAGUCGUUUGUACGGGGCUAUAAAUAGCCACCGUUGUAGAUCUGUAAUCAUCAUCAACUCAAUACAACAAACUACUAUUUCCUCGUACUUACUUUCAAGCAGGCGACUUUACCAACACUUUUUCUCCUUUUUCACGAGUUCGUACGGGUUGGCGGGGCUGCAUCAACUUGACCUCCGGCCGAUCUUGUAAGUUCCGUUUAUCGACUAAAUUCUAAGCUUUAACUUCGGGCGCAUCGCUGUCAUUUCGUUUAGAUUUAUUCAUCAGUUAUCGAUAUUUACUAGAAUUCUAGGUUUUACCUGUUGUUCUAGUUUUAUCACCAAUUAUCCAGCUAGGAAUCGGUAAAUUCGGCUUUCUUUAUACUUCUCUGUCUAAUCUAUUUAUUUUAGCCGAUUAGAUCUGUUCCUAGUGUUGCUACUGUAGCGUUGUUUAGAUUACUCUAGCAGUUUUCUUUAUAAACGUUACCUGGUAAUCGGUUGCACUAUAGCCGAUUUCCUUAUUACGGCAAAUCGGCCGAUUCGCUGAUAAGCUUUCUUGAGAUCGGAACCUUAGCUGAUCGCAACCUCUGGGAACUGACACGUUUAUUUCCUUGCCAAUCAACAGUUCAGAUUGGCUGGCUCGCCGCGCGAACCGUACCAGGGCAAUCACCCGAACAGGAGUUAAGCAGAUUCUCCCGGGUCGUGUGUCCGACGCUGGGAAUUCGGUCAGCUGAUUUCUAGUGCCAACACACUUUUGGCACGCCUAGUGGGGCCAAUACAACCGCCACCAUGUCGAAAGCUGCUGAAGUCUCCGAAGAUAACAUCAUCGAAGUGACAGAGGCAGAUCUCAGGGACGACCAGAAGGAAGAACUAGAGAGGCAGACAGCAUACUACCGGAAGACAUGUCUGCAGUCCUUCAGUCGCACCAGGAGCGAGGAGACUAUCAAAAAGGCUCCGUUUCCAACUCCCCGCCAGAUCACAAUCACCGAGGAUUCGGACAAGAUGUCCGAGAUGGUCCAGCAAUCCGUCUAUCAAGCUUUCAUUGAUCAAUCCCCGGUGCUUUCUAAUACGGUAUACAAUGCCGUCAUCAGCUCCUUGGCUAGUGGUGUAUCUCAAGGGUACCAGGGGCCGGCAUAUGUUCCGCUGAUUAUGGCUCCGAGCAAUGCGGCGACAUGAAGAUCACUGGCGAUGCCCGUUCUUCAUCCACUGUUGGGAAAGCAACCUUAGGUUGCCUUCGGCCGAUAAUUGCCCCGAGUGCAACGGCCCGUAUCGUAACAAUCGGCCGUUCAGCAGGUCUCGCUCCAGAGAUGGGAGAUCAGAGCCGAUCAGCAGGAACUGGCGCGACCAAGACAACCGGCGCCCUCCAGUACGUGAUCGGCUGGGGGGCAGAAGUGACCGGUAUGACCGGUCGGAAGGCAGGCGCAAUGAUGGGCCGGGGGCAGAUUUAAUCGACGUGACCGGCCAGAAAAUAGAGUCAGCGUCCACAGACGACUUGAAUAGAUGGCCGAUGCUCGGGUGUUAGAUGAGAACCCUUUAGGACGCGAACUAGAAUGGGAACGCGCCAGGCCACGAACCAAACCGGUGAACCCCAGGUGGUGCCCCGAUGGAUUGACCAAGUCUCAAAAACGAAGAAUCCAACGUCUCCGCCAGUGGGAACAGCAGGAAGAAGAGCAACAGUACACGACGGACGAGAAGAAAGGCAGGUCUUAGGUAUGGCGCCCCAAAAGAAACGACAGAGGAGGCGACAAAUCAGCAGGCGAUGAAUCGGCAGCCGAUAUCGACAUGGUCUUCAUACUGCCGAUGGAAUUCAUGACUCCUGCCGACCAACAGGACAUGUCAGCAAUAGAAGAGUAGAUGGCGCAAUUGGCUUUGGAGCCAAUGACAGCCACAUUCGAGAAGCCCGAAGAAGACAAACGGCAACACCUGAAAGCGUUGUUUCUUAAAGGGCAUGUCAACGGCCGACCCAUCACCAGAUUACUGGUAGACAGAGGGGCUGCAGUCAACAUCAUGCCGUACGCCAUGUUCCGGAAGCUAGGGAAGAGCAAUGAUGACCUGACCAAGACAGACAUGAUGCUCAAGGACUUCGAGGGCAACGUAUCCCCCGCUCACGGCGCUCUCUGCGUCGACCUCACCAUCGGCAGUAAGACCCUUCCUACUACUUUCUUUAUUAUUAAUGGCAAGGGGUCCUACAACAUGCUACUCGGCCGAGACUGGAUACAUGCAAAUUGCUGUAUCCCAUCUACAAUGCAUCAAUGCCUCGUAUAGUGGGUCGGCGACAACAUUGAGGUGGUCACCGCCGAUUCCGCAUACAGCAUCGCGGCAGCCGACACGCAACAGUGGAGCUGCGAAACCGUCAAGUGCAUAUCCGGGAGAGUAUGGGAUACUGACUUCUUGAAGGUGUCCGAUUUUGGCCUACAGCCGAUCCGAGCAGUCGGCUCUGAGGACUCAGAUUAAAUGGAUCAGUUCACCCGAGAAGAUGGGAAGCUGGGACAUGGGUUCACGUCGGCCGAUUCAUUAGAAAUGAUAGACUUAGGCGAUGGCACCAUACCAAGGCCGACAUAUAUUAGUGCAAAUUUAGAUCCGGAAUACAAAUGUAAACUGACAAGUUUGUUAAGAGAACUUAAGGAUUGCUUUGCUUGGGAAUAUCAUGAGAUGCCCGGAUUAGACCGAUCUAUCGUUGAACAUCGGUUACCCAUAAAGCCAGGGUAUCGGCCGUAUCAACAGCCUGCACGGCGGUGCAAUCCUAAAAUCCUACCGGACAUAAAGGCCAAAAUAACGCGGCUAAUCAAAGCAAAAUUUAUUCGGCAAUGCCGUUAUGCCGAAUGGAUCUCCAACAUUGUACCAGUAUAUAAGAAGAACGGAAAGUUACGCGUAUGCGUCGAUUUCAGGAACCUCAAUCAGGCCACACCAAUGGACGGAUACCCCAUGCCGACGGCUGAUGUACUGAUAGAUGCCGCCGCGGGACACAAGGUUAUUAGUUUCAUGGAUGGAAACGCUGGGUACAAUCAGAUACUUAUGGCCGAAGAAGACAUAUCUAAAACGGCCUUCAGAUGCCCGGGUCACCUUGGUUUAUUCGAGUGGGUGGUAAUGACUUUCGGCUUGAAAAAUGUCGGCGCUACGUAUCAGAGAGUCAUGAACUACAUAUUCCACAAACUUAUCGGCAUACUAGUAGAAAUCUACAUCGACGACGUCGUAGUCAAGUCAAAAGGACACCAGGAGCAUCUGGCCGAUUUACGACAGGUGUUGGAAUGCACUAAGAAACAUGGGCUGAAGAUGAACCCGAAUAAGUGUGCCUUCGGCGUAUCCGCCGGACAAUUCUUAGGAUUCAUGGUGCACGAGCGGGGAAUAGAAAUCAAUCAGAAGACUAUAGCGGCCAUCAACAAAAUUGUGGCCCCGCAGAAUAAAACUGAGCUGCAAUCUCUAAUCGACAAGAUGAAUUUCAUCAGGAGGUUCAUAUCUAAUUUGUCUGGGCGAAUCCAAGCCUUCACACCAUUAUUAAAGUUGAAGCCCGACCAGGAGUUCGUAUGGGGGGAAGAGCAACGCAAGGCAUUGGAAGAUAUCAAGCAGUACUUGGUCUCACCACCGGUAUUGGUCCCUCCUCAAACUGGUAAGCCGUUUAAACUAUAUUUAUCAGCCGAUGAACGAGCUAUUGGGUCGGCUCUGGUCCAGGAGUUCGAGGGAAAGGAACGAGUAAUUUAUUAUGUCAGUAGAAGACUUCUGGACGCCGAAACAAGGUAUCCUCCAGUGGAGCGGUUGUGCCUAUGCCUUUACUUCUCAUGUACCAAACUCAGGCACUAUUUGCUAUCAGCGGAAUGUGUGGUCGUAUGCAAGGACGACGUGGUAAAAUACAUGCUGUCACUGCCGAUUUUGAAAGGAUGGAUCGAAAAAUGGAUCUUGGCUUUGUCGGAGUUUGACCUUCGAUAUGAAUCGGCAAAAGCCGUUAAGGGUCAGGUCAUGGCCGAUUUCGUUGCCCAGCACUGCGGGCCAGAGGCUACCUUCGUAGAACCAGUACCUUGGACCUUAUACUUUGAUGGAUCGUCAUGUGGGGCCGGAUCAGGAAUCGGCAUCGUCCUCAUAUCGCCUCGGGGGGCAAGCUAUGAUUUCUCUCUACCGAUAGAAGCAUCCACCACUAACAAUCAAGCAGAGUACUGAGCUGUACUGAAGGGAUUACAAUUGCUAAGGGAAGUCAAAGCUGAUUCCGUCGAAAUUUUUGGGGAUUCCAUGCUUAUCGUGGAUCAGUUAACAGGGAAAUCCGAGUGCAAGGACGAUGUAUUGAGGAUUUAUUACGAAGAUUGCCUCCUGCUUCUGAAAGAAUUCAAGUCGGCAGUUAUCGAGCACAUCCCAAGGAAUCACAACGAGGAUGCCAACAAGCUCGCCCAACACGCAUCUGGGUAUCGGCCGAUUCAAGGCGCCUUGGCUCUAGAGCUCGCGGCCAAUGACUGGCGAAAGGAGAUUGCCGAUUACCUGAAAGAUCCGUCUAAGAAAGUGGAUCGGCGGGUAUGUUUUCAUGCUACCAAAUAUGUGCUACUGGAAGACGACUUGUUCUACCGAACAAUUGAUGGCGUCCUACUCAAGUGUCUAGGAACGGAGGAGGCUAAGACUCUGAUGGGAGAAAUCCAUGAAGGAGUGUGUGGAGCCCACCAAUCGGCACAUAAGAUGAAAUGGAUGAUUAGGAAUAAUGGGUAUUACUGGCCGACGAUCCUCGAAGAUUGCUUCAAAUAUUAUAAAGGAUGUCAGGAUUGUCAGAAAUUCGGGAAUGUCCAACGUGCGCCCGCAUCGGCCAUGAAUCCCAUUAUCAAACCAUGGCCGUUCAGAGGUUGGGGGAUAGACCUCAUCGGCCAAAUUUAUCCUCCGUCAAGCAAAGGGCACAAGUUCAUUCUGGUGGCCACUGAUUAUUUCACCAAGUGGGUGGAGGCAAUUCCGUUAAGGGCCGUGACAUCGGCUGCUAUGGUUGACUUCGUAAGAGACCAUAUCGUCUACCGUUUCGGCAUCCCCCAGACUAUCACGACCGAUCAAGGGACAAUGUUUACAUCAGGAGAAUUCGAGGAGUUCACAGCCGACAUGGGAAUCAAAUUAUUAAACUCCUCUCCGUAUUAUGCCCAAGCUAAUGGCCAGGUCGAAUCUUCCAACAAGGGGAUAAUUAAGUUAAUCAAGAGGAAGAUAGAGGAGCAGCCGAAAAAGUGGCAUCUAUGUCUGACUGAAGCUCUAUGGGCAUACAGGAUGGCUUGCCAUGGGGCCACUAAGAUGUCCCCUUAUCAGUUGGUGUACGGUCACGAGGCAGUACUACCAUGGGAGUUGAGGGCAGGAUCGAGACGCACUUCGCUCCAGGACCAGUUAGCGGCCGACGACUACUCCUCACUCAUGAAAAGGGAACUUGAUGACUUGGCUGGCCAACGAUUGAGAGCUUUGAUAAGCAUCAAAGAAAACAAGAAGAAAGUGGCCAGGUGGUAUGAUAAGAAAGUCAAAGUCAAACAAUUCUCUCCGGGGGACCUGGUAUGGAAGUUAGUGUUGCCGAUCGGGUCGAAAGAUCCUAAAUUCGGUAAGUGGUCCCCUACGUGGGAAGAGCCGUAUAAAAUCGGCAGAUGUGCUCCAGGAAACGCUUAUAUUCUGGAAACAAUCGAAGGAGAGAAGAGUUUACUAGGGCUUUGAACGGAAGAUACUUGAAAAGGUACUACCCUAGUAUAUGGGUCGGAGCAUAAGGAUCGACCAUGAUGAACAACACACAGCCAAUACAAAAGGAUUCGUCUAGAGAAAAAAACGUAAUCGUCCAAAUCGGCCGAUGUAUUUCAUUCGGUACGGACGGUGGGUUACACGGCCGACAAGGUACAAGUUGCCCUUAGAACAAAAAAAAAUUAAUCACGCUUUUUCUUAAGCUCUCUCUCAGCCCGACCUAGUUCUAUCAGAAGACGGAUGUACUCUUCUUUUAUCUCUUUCAUCGAAGCCUCCGCUUCGACUUGACGGGGGAGAGGGUGACUCCGGUCCAUGGCCGGGCGUGAUGUUCCUACUGCUGCAUCUUCAAGGACGAUUUGAUGAGGAAGCGGAUGACUUCUGUCGGCUUGAGGUCGCCGGUGGUCGUUGCUGUCCAGAAAGUCCCAGAUCCAUCGGAUGUCGGCAGGGACGUGCUCUUGGAGUUCGUCGCGAUGAGCUCUGAUUAAAUCCUUAUCUUCUUGCGACAACGGUUCAUCGGAGUGUACAAGUCCGAUGGCUCGUUCGAGUUCGGGGCUAAGGCGCCGUGGCUGCGGAAAGCAACAAUAUACAUAUAGCUGCCGAAAAGGUGAUUCCCUUCAGAAGAGCUAAACUAAGAAAGAGAAUGAAGGCAAAUCUUUUACCUGAUUAACGGAGGAAGAGGUAGAGGAUGGAGAAGACAUGACUGAAAGGCGCACCGACGUGAACAGGUCGAGGAAGAUGAAGCCGAGUUAGAAAGGUACUCUCGGAACGGUCACCUAGGCCGGUGUUUAUAGGAAAGGAAGGCAUGGAUGUUUGGUAAGACGCGUCCCAUCGGGAGUGUGAAAGGUAAUAAAUAAGGGGGCGUCGCGAAGGACGGUCAAAGGGAUCAUUAAAUGUUCGUACAAGAACUGCCAGCACUUUUACAGGUCACCCAGAAGGGCAUCGAUAGCUGCGAUCGCUCGACGCCGGAUCUGAUCGGCAGAGUCCAGGACCCGUUGGUCAUCCUCUGCCGAUCCGGGGACUUCUAACAUAUGGCGGUGGAGUUUGAGGGCCUCGUGAGCCAGAUGCUGCCUCUCUCGUUUCAGAUCGGCAAUGACAGAAGGGAGUUCCUGAAGCCUCUUCUCUUCGGCGUCUAUUGCUUUGGUCACCUGCUCCAUCUCCUUGGCAAGCUCUGCCCUUCGGCGUUUGAGGCGAUCUAUCGUGCCGACGAUCCCCGGGCGAGAGUCUUCCAGAAAGUGAAUCCGUUGAUGCACCUCUUGAGCUUGACGCUUGUACGUGUCUUCUUCUUCACGAGUUUUGGUCAACUUGACGCGAUCGGCCAUGUGGCGCAGGGCCCUAAAGACUGGAAUCCUCAUUGACUCGAUAUAUGCAGCUGGCGCCAAGGCCUCUUCCGCUUCUUCUGGUACUCGCCCGCUGACGUCACCAAAAAGUUGUUGAAUCAGCGAAGCGUCUUCUACCAAUCGGCCGAUGUCCUCUUGAAGAAGGGAUCGGAUGCUUGCGAGUUUGGCACGGACGUCAUCAGGAACGGAGCUCAAAGUGACCUGGCGAGAGGCGACUUCCUCAUCAUCGGAGAGUGCGACCGCAAACGAGAAAAGGCUGUUGUUGGGGGUGUCCUGUUCCUGAAAAAUAGUGAGUCAAGAAGAAGAACAAAUCAGCCGAUGAUGAUAGCAAAUCGGCUGAGUAAGGGUGAGAAAUCUCUUACCUCCUUGAAACGGAUUUCUUCAAACUGCGUUUGGGAGGCUGUUAUCCUCGAUUCAGGGGCUGGUACCAUUGGUUCGUCAGAAGCUGAAGACUCCACCAUGAUUGGUGCUUUGCUCGGGCCAGCUUCCCGAAAGAUGACCAUUGGUUGGUUAGGUGGGGCGCUAAGCGUACCGGUGACCUGUGUCAAAAGAUUGAAUAAGAAUAUUAUCCAAAUACUAGAAAAAUCGGUUGAAGAGUAGUAUACCUCGGCAGACGGAAGCGUGGGCGUGUUGAUGACCGAUUGGGUUGCUGCCGAUUGUUGUGAGUCCACAGAAGUGAUUUGUGUAGUCUAAAAUAAGAUGAGUCAGUAUAGAGAUGGCAAUCGGUAGGAUCAAACAACAAGUUUACCUGCAUGGCCUCCACCAGUAAUGAUGCAGCGGCCGCCCCAGCUUGCGUGACGACUUGAGUAUCUACUUCUCCAGCAGCUGGAAGGGGCAAUGUGGCCGAAGUUUCUGCCGAUGUGAUCGUAGGAGGGUCGGCCGGUUCUGUACGAGCUCGCACUCGGCGACUGGUCUUCUUGGUAACCUUCUUCUGCGCCUGCUUCGAUCGGCCGGCAAUCACAUCCACGGAAGGGGCAUCGUAGCCGAUAAGGGGGAAGAUGGUGUAUAGGUGAUGGUCCUCUAUCGGCCGGCCACUCCGACUGUGUGUUGGGGGAACGCAGUUUUCAGACUGAAGCAACAGCAAGAUGUUAGUGUACAUAUUUAACCGCAUUAAUAAAGGAAUGAAAAUCAGUUAGGGAAAAAAAAUACCUCGGUGUUCGGAUCGAUGUUGGCUGGAUCCAGGAGGUUGCAGUAUGUCGAUGCGGAGGCACAGAAUAGGUACUGUUUUCAUUCGGCCCACCAUAGCUUGAAUGGUUGGACAACAAAGGGGGCUACUAUCCAGUCAUUCAAGUCUAUGGUACUGGAGUCUGGUAUCCGGUCUCGCAGCCGACUAUAGUCAAGACCCUUGGUGAGCUCAUCUCUGAACUUUGCUCGGCCGACGAAGUAUGCCUGAAUCGGCAGUUGACCCAUGCCGAAUUGCCGAGCUGCAACGGAGGGAUUGUAGAAUUCAUAUGUAGGGGCAUCCUUUCCUGAGAAGAAGUUGGCCGGUAAGAUCCCCGGUUUAAUUAGUUCAUCUGUGAGAUCUUCGUCGAAUCAGCCGGUGGUUGAGUCGAAGCAAGAAGGGAGUUCAAAGAUUGGGUCAUCUCUCCAAUAAGGAAACCAGACGGUUGCAUCUUCAUUGAAGCCGUUAUAAAAACACUGGAAGUAUUCGGCCACCUUGGUAGCAGAGUACGAGCAACCAGAGAAGGCCGAUGCCGCUUCGCCGAAAGACAUACACCGGCGUCGGACAGUGAGAUUCUCUGCCGAUUCGACGCUGGGGAAUGUCAUGUGUUCCACUCGCUGCUGAGAGAUCUCGCUCAUGUACAAGUUCAGCCAUAAGUUAAUGAACCACCAGGGUCCACCUGGGUUUCCAAUUGGCUACCCUUGGGAUAGCUUGAUGCCGAUUUGGUGAAGCAUGUGGUAGGCUGCUCCCAGUAAGUGCUUUCCAAGAGGAACAGAAGUCCCUAUUGAUAAUGCUUCGGCCAGAGCUUGGGUAUUGGUAGAUGGACCAGCUGCUCUCCCACAGAAGAAGUGCUUCUCUAGCCACAUCAUCAGGAAGGCCGUGUGCUCUCUGUUGUCGACAGAUCCGGCCCUUUUGUUGCAUCUGAUGAAACCUUUCCACCUGCCGAUUCCCCUUGUGUCCAGCCGAUGUGAUGUUGCGGUUAUAAGGCGGAAAGGGGUGUCCGGGGAAGAAAUAUCCAGGCCGGUCAGGAAGACUACAUCGGCCAAUGUGGGGGUCAUGGGUCCGUGUCCAAACAGGAAUGCGUUGAGAGCAUUGGACCAGAAGUAAGAAGCUGCCACCACUAAUGGCUCAUUCCGUUCCAUUUGGGACAAAGAUAGAUCGAUGCAUUGGCCAAUUUUGAGCUCGUCCCAUUGGACCUUCUUGGAAGCGGUUAUCCGCUGGUACCAUUCCCUCCAACUGGGAGUUUCGUUCGGCCAAGACCUAAAGGUACUCAACCAGUGAUCUAGGUCCAUAGUUGAUUGUUUGAAGGGGAUCCUAUGGGUUUUCCAAAUUGAUUAAGUCGGUUGGAUCUGGAUUUCCCAUGGGUCCAAGACAGAUAAGGCCGAGGUUUUCUGUGAGACGAAUGGUGAUGCGAUGCCUAACCGCCUAAAAAGGAAAAGGGGGUGCGAGGGUAAGAAAUAGAUCUAAAGUACAUGCAUUACUAAUAAGGGAAAGUUUCGGUAAUGACCUCCGGGAUGAAGCUCCUCGUAAUCGGCGGAGUCGCCGGUGCAGCUGCAGACGAUGAAGCUGCCAAUGGGAUCUCGGAUGAAGCUUCAACUUUCGCCAAUGGAGCUCCUUCUUCCGUCGAUGGAGCCGUCGUUAUCGCUACUGGAACCUCCGCCGAAGGCACCAUUUCUGGAGCUUCGCGCAUUGGUGAGGUGCCUGAAGGUGCCGCCAUUGGAAAAGUAGGAGGCAAUGCGAAAGGAAGGAGGCGCUGGAGAAUUGGUGGACUAAGGAAAGUGUUGGAGGAAGAAGAAAGCCUGUGCACUGAAGAAGAUGGACAUGAGCUCGUAAGGAGUACGGGAUGUGCUGAUAUUUAAAGAACGUCUGAGAAGGGGUAAAAGUGGAAUUUUUACCGCGCUGGCGUUUUGAGUUUUUCGGGAGUAGUGGUUGUCGUGGGCACCCGUUUCGAAAAGAUUGCAAUCAUCAGGUUGGAGACCGCGAAAUGGAAGGAUGUUUUCAUUGCGUCUGUUUCGGAUGAGAAGUUGAAAAGAAUUUUGAAGUAAAGACUAUGUUUUACUCCGAAACUGGGAGGCAUGUGUUGACGCCAGAUUUUGACACGAGUAAAAUCGGCGUUAGAAAUGGAAUAAAUUAGGAGAUGCGGCGAGAUACAAGGGCGACGAUUGGAAAUCGGCCGAUUGGUGCUACAGUCAAGGAUCGGUUGGUUGGUGCUGCAGUCAAGGAUCGGCCAAUUGAUGCUACAGAUGAGGAUCGACCGAUUGAUCCUUGGAGUUCCGCCUCGCCCAACCCCUGGUUUGGGAUCGGACGCGCCCGACCCUCCAAGGGAGGAUCUCCGCCUCGCCCGACCCCUGGUUUGGGAUCGGACGCGCCCGACCCUCCAAGGGAGGAUCUCCGCCUCGCCCGACCCCUGAGGUUUGGGAUCGGACGCGCCCGACCCUCCAAAGGAGGAUCUCCGCCUCGUCCGACCUUAGUUCCCAGGGUCGAAAUGAGUCUGAGCCCUCGAUAUGUGGGUCCUGAUCGGUUACCCCCUUGCCAAAGAGGUGAUCGGCCGAUUAGGAGGUUGGAAUAGUUGGGCCGAUGUGGGCUCAAGAAGGAUUAUGAAGAUGAAGAGGGGGUCAGCCCAUGAAGCGCGUGAAAAUAGUACGAAUCGUACUUGUAAAUAUUCGUUUUCUGUUUAAAUUUAGGGAUAGAGUUCUAGUCGGAUAAGAAGUCGUUCGUACGGGGCUAUAAAUAGCCACCGUUGUAGAUCUGUAAUCAUCAUCAACUCAAUACAACAAACUACUAUUUCCUCGUACUUACUUUCAAGCAGGCGACUUUACCAACACUUUUUCUCCUUUUUCACGAGUUCAUACGGGUUGGCGGGGCUGCAUCAACUUGACCUCCGGCCGAUCUUGUAAGUUCCGUUUAUCGACUAAAUUCUAAGCUUUAACUUCGGGCGCAUCGCUGUCGUUUCGUUUAGAUUUAUUCAUCAGUUAUCGAUAUUUACUAGAAUUCUAGGUUUUACCUGUUGUUCUAGUUUUAUCACCAAUUAUCCAGCUAGGAAUCGGUAAAUUCGGCUUUCUUUAUACUUCUCUGUCUAAUCUAUUUAUUUUAGCCGAUUAGAUCUGUUCCUAGUGUUGCUACUGUAGCGUUGUUUAGAUUACUCUAGCAGUUUUCUUUAUAAACGUUACCUGGUAAUCGGUUGCACUAUAGCCGAUUUCCUUAUUACGGCAAAUCGGCCGAUUCGCUGAUAAGCUUUCUUGAGACCGGAACCUUAGCCGAUCGCAACCUCUGGGAACUGACAUGUUUAUUUCCUUGCCAAUCAACAGGUCAGAUUGGCUGGCACGCCGCGCGAACCGCACCAGGGCAAUCACCCGAACAGGAGUUAAGCAGAUUCUCCCGGGUCGUGUGUCCGACGCUGGAAAUUCGGUCAGCUGAUUUCUAGCGCCAACAGGCUCAUUUAUGUCGCCUGACACGCGAAUAUGCACUUUAACCAAGUCAACCUGGUCGACCGUCGGAUUUCAUCCGAUGAACCACUUACACAGGAUCAAGAAGCAUCGCUCAAACGAAGGUGAGUAGCACAGAGGUUACAACAUUCCAUUAUGACAACUUAGUUCCACAAUUUAUUACAUCAGAGUUUCAGAAAUUCAAACAAGUUGCAAGGUUCGAAAAGUCGGAUAAAACAAGCGAAAACUAAACGUCGAUACAGGAUAUCAUGACGAAGUUGAUCAUGACAUCAAAAAUCCCUACCCUCACCGUCCGAGGAGGGAUCCCACUCGAUUGUCCAGCCCGGAGGGAGCUGGGUAGGCCAAGUGGUGCCAGCAACCAAACUAUUGACAUGACCUGAAAAGAUUAAGCCAUAACAAGGCUGAGCAACUAAUACUCAGCAAGACUGACCCGUCGAGUGAAAAGCUUUACCAAGACCUAGACAUGCAAGGCUUUCUGGCUCUGGGAUUACUUUGCCAAAAGCAUCUACAGUCGGUCCUUACUUUCAAUAUUUUAGCUUAAGUUCUACGUUCUUUAACCAGUCUAGAUUAGCAACUUAUACUAAACAAGCAUAAUUUCCAAGUAGUUAAAUAACAAGCAUCAACUUAAUCUCAUAAUCAUGUUUCAUCGUUACUCAGUGCAGAAUAGCGAUCAAGUAGUCCCAAACUGUGAGAGACAGAUGAAUCGAUUCGAAUUUAUUAACCAUGCAUGGCGAACCUAAUCUCACGACAUCCGCGCACCACGAAGGGUCGCUUCAUUUGUCAGCCGUCCCCAUCGAUCCCUUAGGCACGUGUCAGGGCCAAACUGCCUUUGGCGUGCAAUGCUCCACAGUCCCGACCUCUGUCGUACUGUGACCGCCACUGCACCCACAUGAUGCACCAUGGGAACGACGUUCCAAGGACAGCAGGAGUAUAAGCCACGUCCCAGUUCAGUCAGGUACUAGGCUUCCCCAUCCCAGACUAGGUAUGAGAUUAGUACUUUCAAACACUUGAUCACGAACGCUGACACGUUUCAACCUUAGAUCAAUUUCCUUUAGACAGACGGGGAAAACCACCAAGUAUCGAACAUAAGCCCGACCCCGUCCGUCAUCCUUAUAGUUGCAACAUAAAUAAACAUUCAACUCCUAUAACUCGCGAGUGAUAGGAAAUCACUCGACUUUUACUGAAACCUAAUAAGCAUUGCAACUACUCGACUUUAGCAACUAGUAUUCAAACAAGGUACUAAGUUCAUGCAUCUACGGUUUCAAUCAACUCCUACACACGUAAAUGCGCAAACAUAAACAUCAACAUGUUGCAUAAAGUAAAACAGGGAAGUCAUGCACCGGGGCUUGCCGUCAGGAAGAGUUAGCGGGUCCUCGGGGUCUUGAUCCGGCUCAGGCUCGCCUUCCAAGUGGUGAAGCUCCGCAGCGGGGUCUUCCUCCGGUGUCGGGUGGAGCUCGUAGGUUCCAUCGGCGAGAUUUGCUUCUAUACGACAUGCAUAUGCAAAAGUUUAGUUGGACUCACGCGUUUAUUCAACGACACAAGGCUUGGCUUAAGACAAGGAGUUGCAACAGCCACAUUCACUUUGACGAGGUUCAACUUUCAUGCAACUUCAAACGAAUGUGGUCGGUUUAAACUUGAGUUCGAGUUGAAUGGCGAUUGUGUACAUAUAUAGUUUUCUUACACUUAGAGUUGCAUAAAGAGAAUGAAAGGUCGUGUUUGGGUGGUUUGGGUGCAUUAGGAUAGUUACUUACUUCUGAAUGUUUUUAUGUACCUCUUUCAAUUUCCACUUAUUUAUCGUAUUAGAAUUUGUGCUUUCCUUUUAUUCCUUUAGGUUGAUUAAUUAACCAAAAUGACUUCAUAUCCAAACAGCAGCUAAAGGCACUGAUAAAAUUACAACACCUCACUUAAGCCAUAGCUGGGUUACUCUAAAAUUUUGGGGGCCAUUGGAUGACUUAAAAAGGAAUUACAUGCAUUUUAUUAUUAAAGGUAAAAUGAGCUUAACUUUUUCUAUCUUCAAAGUUACUAUGCAACAGAGGGUGAAACUUAACCAGUGUGUUAAGGGUAUGUUACAGGAUCUUUGGCGAAUUUUUCAUAAUUUUUGAAGAAGGUUAACUAUUUACUCUAUUUCCUUUUUAAUUAAACAUGCUUAGCAAGGAAGGUGUUUUUUCUUUCCGAAUUGCACAACAAUUUACAUUUUUCCUGCAAACUUCACAGCAAAACAAAAUUAACCCAACUAGUUUCACAUUUUUUUGAGCUCUGGAUCAAAACGUAUGCAAAAAGGAAGAAUUAAUCUUAGAUUCCCAAAUUAAAGUCAAAACAAUGACUUAAAGUGCUAGACCAGAGCCCUAACCAUUUUUCUGAGCUUCUACACAUAGAAACAAGCAUCACAGAGUUGGUUUUACAUUUUUCCCACUUUUCUUCUAUUUAAUAGGAUUAAAAAGGCCUAAACCAUGAUUAAAAGCAUAUGAUAUUAUUUACAACAGUAACAUGAGCAAACUUAUUUUUCUUAGGAACUAGAUAGAGCAAGGAUUCCAACAAAAGUGGUUUGGUAUUUUUAUGAUUUUUCUACGAUUUACUGGGCAUUUACAAAGUUCAACCAUAUUUCUACCUAUUAUUUAAAAGAAAAGCCGUGGCAAACUUGCAGGUUAGCCCCUGGGUCUAUGGGUUAACUACGCAGAGGUCCCUGAGUUUUGCGCCCAGGCCCCUGGAAAGAAUGGGGAUGAUGCAAUGUAGUCCCCAGGGCGCGCGCGGCGGCGGCGAGGAAAUCCCCGGCGGUUCGUCGGCGGGGAUGGGGCAACAAGUGGUCGGAGGGGUGCGGGGGCUCACCUGAGCUCGGUUUGGUGGGGUUGGGGCGACGGAGAUGGUCGGUAGGGAUCAAAACACGGCGGCGGCGACAGAGCUUGGCUGGUGGCGGUGCAGGCGUCGUUCCGGCGCACUGGCGGCGUCGGGGAGGCCACGGGCUGCUCGGAGACGUGCGCGGAGGGGGGGCGAAGUGGGCGGCGAAGUUGCCGGAGUACGGGGUGGCGCGGAGGGGUGAGCUCCACGGGAGCUUAGCGGCGGCGCUGAGAAGGAAGCAGAGGCGUGGUUGCGAGCGGUGGCAAAGGGUGGCAUUGCCGGUGAGGGGGACCCUUUUAUAGGGCAGCGGUGGAGCGGAGGGUCGAGGUGGGGCUCCGGUGGAGGAAGGAUAAGGCCGGGAGCGGUGCGUGCGCGAGCGAGGCGGCCAUUGGCCAGCGGUGCCAUUGGGCAGGGGAGGCGGAGCUCCGGGUGGUCUCUGGCCGCGAUUGGCCUCGAGCGAUGCGUGUCUGAGGCCUCCGGUCUGUCGGCGGGCGAAGCGGAGGGCCACCGCGGGGGUUGGGCGAGCGGGCGGAGGCGCGGGACGUCGUUGGCGUGGUGGCUUCUCCAGCGGGUGGGCGAAGCGCGGUUGGGCAGAGCAGAGCCGCGGCAGAGGGAAGGGCACGCGCGCGGCCGACGGUUGGCCAGCCCGGCGUUCGCCCCGUCUUGUCGCAGGCGCGGGUUGGGCGCCGUGGCUCUCACCUUAUCGUUGUCUCGCCGGGGAUAGGGCGCCGGUGAGCUGCCGGUGGCCAGCGGCCACGAGGCACGCGGUGCGCGGGCGAACAUGCCCUGGCGCGCGGGCGUUGAGGCCCCUUCGGGCAGUAAGCCCGACCAGCUUUGAGAGAUCCUAUCUCAAGAUUUUGCAACACAACUUCCAAAACUCUUCUAAACAAACUUGUUCAACUCUGGACGUAGUUCAAACUUGGUUUAAGGUGCUGGUUUAGAUUGUGAAAGGAUUUGGAGAUAUCUCAUGCCAAAGUUUGCCAAAAAUAUGGAAAUCCAGACUUAGCCAAUUUUGGCCGGAGAGGUGGAAUUUCAGGAACUUAGCUAUGUUUGAGUCAACUUUAGGGCAGCUUCCAAGUUGAAUUAGACAGAAGUGUUAAUAGAGGAGUUGCUCUCCAAACUGAGGACUUCAACUUCUAUUUAGGGUAUUUCUGGAGUUUAGUUCAGAAAUUUGGAGGAACGCCCUCGCCAAGAGGUGCACUCUGAGCAGUUUUCCAGACUUAGCGUUGUGGUGCUCAGGGGCUGAGUUGACUGCUUUGCUCAACUUUGACCAAGAUUUUGAACAGGUUCUGGUUCGAUUUGGACCUGGGUCAUUGUAACAAACUUGGAAAACACUUGAGGUAUUACAACCUUUAUUAAGAGCCUGACUUGAGUUUAGAUAUGAAAUCGUGAGAUAAAGGCUUGCAAAGUUGGAGGAAAACUUGAAUUCCACGACUUGGAGGUUUAUAGGGUUCUUUAUUAUUCCGGUUUUGAUUCCUGUUUUUGACUUCCUCCCACUCCGAAUUAGCCAAAGUGACUUUAACAAAUAUUGUUUGAAAUUAAAAGUGUUACAACUCUUAUUUGGGCAAAAUUUUAAGUUUGUAUAUAAAAUCUCAAGUUUUAUUUUAAACUCCAUAAAGAGCUUCUUAGGGUUAAAAUGGUCAUUUCACUUCCUUUACUUAGUGAUUAACCACUGGUUUAUAUUUAAAGCACUUAAUUUAGGUAGAGUUGUUACAAGUAUCCACUCACUACUUUACCAAAUGGGUGCAGGCAGUCCCUCUGAAGACCGUGACGUUGGCCGUCAUGAUUGAAUUCAUAAGCGAGCACAUUAUCUAUUGGUUUGGUAUUCCUCAGACUGUUACGACCGAUCAGAGAACAAUGUUUACUUCAGGAGAGUUUGAGGAGUUCACUUCCGAUAUGGAAAUUAAGUUGUUAAAUUCUUCUCCAUAUUACGUUCAAGCUAAUGGUCAGACCGAAUCGUCCAAUAAAGGGAUAAUCAAGUGUAUCAAGAGGAAGGUAGAGGAGCAACCAAAGAGAUGGCACAUGACUUUAAGCGAGUCUUUGUGGGCCUACAGGAUGGCCUGCCACGGCGCUACUAAGGUGUCUCCUUAUCAAUUAGUGUAUGGAUAUGAGGCGGUGCUCCCUUAGGAAUUGAGGAUGGGGUCUAGACGCACGUCGAUUCAAGAUUAGUUGACAGCCGACGAUUAUUCUCUCCUUAUGAAAGGGGAGCUUGAGGAUUUGGUGGGUCAACGAUUGAGGGCCUUGAUCAGUAUUGAAGAGAAUAAGAAAAGACUUGCCAAGUGGUAUGACAAGAAGGUCAAGGUCAAGCAGUUCUCGCAAGGGGAUUUGGUAUGGAAAUUGGUAUUGCCGAUAGGGUCUAACCAUCCCAAAUACGGCUAGUGGUCGCCUACUUGGGAAGGGUCGUAUAAAUCGAUCGAUAUGUGCCAGGAAAUGCAUACGUAUUAGAGACCAUCGAGGGAGAGGAAUUUACAAGAGCCUUAAAUGGGAGAUAUUUGAAAAGAUACUAUCCCAGCAUAUGAGUGGACGCGUAGCCGAUGAUAUAGUGUAUCGAGUCGUUAUGGCCGAUUCCUAUUGACUCGUGUUUAUAUAGCCGAUGCAGGGAGGCAUCGCCUUGAGGACGAAACCUCUAAUCAAAUUGGCCGAUUAUUAUUCGGUACGGUGAUUGGAUACAUGGCCAACAUGGUACAAGUCGCCCUUAGACCAAAAGUACCAAUACAUCUAUCGGGUUACAAUAUGAUUAACUGCAUUUCAACUGGGCUUUGUUUUUAUUGAUCUCUCUUUGGACCCGGCCUAGUUCUAUUAAGAGACGGGUGCUCUUUUCCUCCCUAUCCGCCAUGGCAUCUUUGAGAGCGACCUGGCAGGGUAGCUGAUGACUCCUCUCAAUUGGCGGCUGAGGUGGCUCCCUGGAGCUGUUGGCUUCGAUGUGAUCCACGAUCUUCUUAAUGUGGGUCGGAAGAUGGUCUUUAAGCUCCUCACGGUGGGCUUUGAUCAGGUCUUGGUCCACCUGCAUCAGUGGUUCCUCAGAGUGCAUAAUUUCGAUAACUCGCUCAAGAUCAGGGCUGAGCCGGGUCGGCUGGACAAACAGCGGGCAAUCAGUUGUCGAAAAGAAUUGGUCAAGGAGCGCAAGGCUGAUCUCAUACCUCAUUGACGGGGGAAGAAGAAGACAUCUUGGCGCCCGGUUAGGGAUCUGAAAAUGGUCGAGCAGAGUGUAGAAGGAUGGAUGAGAUACGAGUGCCUCUGGGAGGAAUGUAGGGACCCCAUAUUUAUAGGAGAAAAGGUAAGGGGCAACGGUUGGCAAAGGCAUCUAUUCAAAGCAGAUGAAUGUUGAGCUAAAAGCUGCGAAGAGGAAACGUUCAAGUCCGUAUUCACACAAUGAUGGCAAAAGGGGCAUUAAAUGUUUGUGCAGAGGUGUUCAAAAGAUAAUUCAAUGUUUUGAUACAUUCAUUCAAGAAGAAUAUUAAUGGCCGCGAUUGCCUACUGGCGGAUCUGAUCCGCUGAAUCUAGAACUCGUUGGACAUCUUCGGCUGAUCCAAGAAUUUCUAGCAUGUUGCGAUGAAGCCGGAUGGCCUCAUGCGCAAGGGUUUGCCUCUCCUGCUUCAGAUCAGCGAUGACGGUCGUGAGAUCAUGAAGAUUAUUCUUUUUGGCGGUUAUAGCCUUUGUCACCUACUCCAUCUCCUUGGCAAUCUCUGCCCUAUGCUAUUUGAGACGGUCUAUUGUGCCGACGAUGUCUGGGCGAGAAUUUUCGAGUACGCCGAUUCGGUGAUGUACCUCUUGAGCUCGGUGUUUGUAGGAAUCCUUCUCUUCACAUGGCUUUGCCAGCUUGGCAUGAACGGCCAUGUGCCGCAGGGCUCUGAACACCGGGAUUUGCAUUGACUCGAUGUAUGUAGGAGGUGCAAGAGCUUUUUCUACAUCCUUCAGGACUCGGCCUUUUAUUUCGCUGAAGAUUUGCCAAAUCGGCGAAGCGUCUUCCACCAAUCGGCCGAUGUCAUCUUGAAGAAGUGCUCGGAUUCUCUGGAGCUUUGCACGUACUUCUUCCGAAAUUGAACCUGGAGCCACUUGUCGAGAGGCUACCUCUUCAUCAUCAGAAACAGCGAUCGCAAAUGAAAAGAGGCUGUUAUUGGGCGUAUCUUGUUCCUAUAAAAGUAAGAGAGGAAGGAACGGAUUAGCCGACAGUAGUGGGAAAUCGGUCGGAUUGGAUGUCGAAGGCCCUUACCUGUUUAAAAUGAAUUUUCUUCUGUUUGUGUUUGGGGGAUUGCUACCCUUGUCUCAGGAAUCAGCAUGGUUGGCUCGUCAGAAGAAGAAGACUCGACGGUGAUCGACGUUGUGUUUGGACCGGCUUCCUGAAAGUAACAAAAGGAGAGUCUCUAUAAGUAUGAAGCAAUAGUUAGAUCUAAGGAUGAGUACCAGUUACUUUACCUCUGUGAGUCGUCCGGCCGAUGACUGUUGGAAAGGUAUGAUUGAUGUACCCAGAGUGGCCUACAUUAGAAAUCGGUCAUUUUUGACUAAGGAAUAAGAGACUUGAGUAAGAUGUAUGUUCUUUACCUCAGCUGCAAGGAUUGCUGGUGGUUCGGUCUCUGCUUGGGAUGCGACCGAUUGCUGUGAGGUUUGCUCCGAAAGAAUUUGCGCAGCCUAACAAAAAGUGGAAAUUAAUACUGAUAGUAUACUUGGAGAAAUGUGAAGCAUAUAAAGUUACCUGAACAUCUUUUACCAAUAAGGAUGCAGCUGCUGAUCCGGCUUCCGUAGCGGCUUGGGGGUCGACCUCCUGGGCGAUCGGCAGAGUUGGUGUGGCUGAAGACUCGGCUGGUGGCACCGCCGAUUGAUCGGCCGGUUCUAUACGGGCGCGCACCCGGCGGCUUGUCUUCUUUGAAGAGGAUAUCUUCAUCUUCUGCUUCAAUCGGCCUGUGAUGAUAUCUUCGAUUGACGGGGACUGAAAGCCGAUGAUUGGAAAUGAAGUAUAUGGGUGGCGAUUCUCUAUCGGCCUGCCACUACAGUUGUGCGUUGGAGAGAGUUGGCUUUCAGACGACAAGAAAUGAGGGAAAUCAGUGGUAAUACUGUAAGAGUACGGUGUCAAAUCGGCCAGAAGGAUUGGUACCUCUGCAUUCGGAUCAAUGUUAGCGGGGUCCAGAUCAUUACAAUAUGUUGUAGGAGAUGUGCAGAAGAGGUGUUGUUUCCACUCACCCCACCAUAGCUUGAAUUGUUGGACAGCGAAGGGGGCCACAACCCAGUUGGCCAAUUCGAUGGUACUGGAAUCCGGCGUCAAGCUGCACAGCUGAUUGUAUUCAAGACCUUUAGAGAGCUCCUCCCGACACUUAACGCGGCCGGCAAAAUAAAUCUUAAUCGGCAUUUGUCUGAGGCCGAAUUGCCGCGCUGCCACUGAUGGGUUGUAGAAUUCAUAGGUUGGGGAGUCUUUUCCUGAGAAGAAGUUUGCUGGUAGGAUCCCAGGCUUGAUCAAAGUAUCCAUAAGCUCAUUAUCGAAGUAAUUGAUGGUUGAAUUGAAGCAGUCGGGGUUUUCAAAGAGUGGCUCAAUUCUCUGAUAUGGGUACCAGCUUGUAGUUUCUUCAUUGAAGCCGAUAUAGAAGCAUCUGAAAUACUCAGUUGUAUUUGUGGGGGUAAACUUGCUGCCAGGAGAAGCUGACGCUACCUCGCCAAGGAAGUGCAACGCCGUCUUAAUGUUGGGUUAUCCUCUGAUUCAAUAUUGGGGAAUGUCUUGGUCUCAACUCGUUCCCUGGAGAUCUUGCUCAUGUAUAAGUUGAGCCAGAUGGUGAUAAACCACCAGGGGCCACCAGAGUUCCCAAUCGGCUCUCCGGAUGACAGCUUGACUGCGAUUUGGUGCAUCAUAUGAUGAGCCAAUCCUAGCAGGUGUUUUCCUAAGGGGAUAGUAGAACCUUUUGCUAGGGCCUCGACCAGAGCCUGUGUAUUGGAGGAGGGGCCAACUGCUUUGCCACAGAAGAAGUGCUUCUCUAACCACAUCAUCAGGAAAGCUGUGUAUUCUCUAUCGCCGAUAGGACCGGUCUUCAUAUUUUUAUCAAUAUAGCAUUUCCACCUGCCGAUUCCCUUUGUUUCCAGGCGAUGGGUUGGUUUGAUCAGGAAAUUGAAGGGCAAGUCGGGGGAAGAGAUGUCAAGACCGGUCAGCAUCAGGACGUCGGCCAAAGUAGGGGUCAUGGGCCCAUGUCCAAAAAGGAAAACAUUGAGAGCGUCAGACCAGAAAUAAGAAGCUGCCAUGACCAAAGGUUCAUUCUUCUCCAUUUGAGACAGAUAUAAGUUUAUGCAUUGGCCGAUUUUUAGUUCAUCCCAAAGAACCCUCUAAGAAUUGGACAUCCUUUGAAACCACUCUUUCCAGCCAAGGGUUUCGUUCGGCCAAGAUCUAAAUGCACCUGUCCACUGGCUUAAAUCCAUUGGUGACUGCUUGAAAGGGAUCAUGUGGGUUUCCAGGUUGAUCAAUUCAGUGGGAUCUAGAUUCCCCAUGGGGCUAAGACCGACGAGGCCGGGUGCGUCAGAAACAGGGAUGGUGAUUUGCUGCCUAAGUUCCUAAAAAGGAUACAAAAGGAGAACUAAGAACAGAUCUAAAAGAUGCGUGAAUGGUGAAAAGUAAAAGUAAAAACUUUGGGAUAUUUACCUCUGGAAUGAAAGCCAUAGUCGCCUAUGGAGCCGCUAUUGGAGUAAACAGAAUAGGAUGGACGGAAGAUGAAGGAGGAAUCACCGUAGGAAUGCAGUUGGAAGAUGAAAGGGUGCCGAAAUGCGAUGGAAGAUGAUUCGCCGGGGAAAAAAGAGUUUCCCAGCUUGUGGAGAAGAAGCGGCGGAGAAUGCAAAUAUUUAAAGAUGGUUCGAGAGAAGGGUAAAGGUGGGAUUUUACCGCGCUGUCUGCACAAAUUUCGGGAAGAGCGGUUGCCUGCGAGCGCCUAGCUCGAAAAUUGUGAUCAUCAGAGAGAAGACCGCAGAACAGAAAGGAGCUUUCGCCGUGCCCGCCUCGGAGGAUGAGUUAGAGUUGAAAAAAAUUUGAAGCAAAAAGUUUCACUCUGAAACUUGGGGGCAUGUGUUGACGCCGGAUUUUGACACGUACUUGAAAUCGGCGUCAAAGAAGGAGAAAGGGGGGCCGAUGCGGCGGACUAGAAGCUACAGUUGGGAAUCGGCCGAUUGAAGCUACAGUGUUUCAGCCGAUUGGUGGAAGAAAUCGGUGGAGGCUGGCCGAUUGAGAGCCAAAGCAGUUUGGCCGGUUUGGGCCUAAGGUGGACCAGGAUGAAGAUUUGCUGAAGAGACAGGCCCGUGGGAAAAUAAUAACCAACUCGAAUAUGAGUCGUGUUUGUAACUAUUUGUUGUCGUUUGAAAUUAGAGAUAGAUUCUAGUCGGUUAUGAAAUCAGUUGCAACAGGCAAUAAUAGCUGCCUCGAGAGGCUUGUAAAAAAAUAACACACAAUCAAUAAAACAAAUUUACUCUUUCCUCGUACUUUACUUUCAAGUCGGCGACUUCGCCAAAACCUUUUUCUUUCACGAGUUCGUACGGAUUGGCAGGGCUGCAUCUACAUGAUCUCCGACCGAUUCUGUAAGUUCCGCUUAUCGAGUAAUAUCUAAGCUUUAACUUCGGGCGCAUCGCUGUUGUUUCAUUUAGAUUUAUUCACUAGUUAUCGAUAUCAACUACAGUCAUAGGUUUUACCUGUUAUUUUAGUUUUUAUCACCAAUUAUCCAGCUUGAGGUACGAGCUAUCGGCUUCUAUUAUUUUUAUCCUUUAUCAUCACAUAGCUGAUUAGAUCUACUCCAAGUGUUGCUUUUGUAGUGUUGUUUAGGUUGCUCUAGAAGUUUUCCUUACGAUUGCUACGUGAGUAUCGGCUGUCUUAUAGCCGGUCAUCUCUAUAGUAAAUCGGCCGAUUCGCUAAUACGCUCUUCAAGACAGAUCGGAACUCUAGCCGAUCGAAACCCCUAAAAUUUAAUAUUCUUCUUUCCUUUGUCAAUCAACAGGUCAGAUUGACUGGCACGCCGCGCGAACCGCACCAGGGCAAUAACCUGAACAGGAGCUAAGCAGAUUCUCCCGGGUCGUGUGUCCGACGCUGAGGGUCAUCGGCCAAUUUUCAGGGCCAACAACAGCUUUUGGGCAAAAGCAUAUAGGACUUUUAGGGGGUGUUUGGCAUGGCUCUAGAGCUGAACUCCGGUAACUCCAGCCAAUUUUCCAGCCAAACACCCUAGCUCCAAAACUCCAUGGAGCUGCAGUGCAAAUGGGAUGGAGUUUUGGCGCACCUCUUUUGUAGCUCCAAAACCACCUAAUAUGAACCUCCUCGUGGAGUUGGUGGGUAAUUAACCAUCAAUGCCACUGAUUAAAAUAAAAAUGAUUCACUUCUAUUUUCUCUCGAGACCCCUCCCCGCGCCGCCCGAGGCCUCCUGAUGCCGCUCUCCUGCGCCGCCGCCUAGCGCCGCCGACAGCUGCUGUCGCCGUCCGUGCCCCGCGUCCUGCGGGCUACCGCCUCGCCAUCCCCAUGAGCCCCCUGCACCGCCGUCAGAGCCGCCAGCCGAGCCGCUGCGGCCGGGUUUCCGCCGUCUUGCCGCCUCUUUCCUCAACUGGAGUGAGCCAUCAGCAGCAGCAGAUUCCCCUCGGCGAGCCACGCCCGUUUCGCCGGUUCCGUUGUCACCCUGCUGCCGGAGUGCCGCCGCCACCGUGAAAACCGCCCGCCCCCCGAUCUCCACCACCACGCUGACCACCUCCGUCCAUGCCCUCCGCCGGUGAGCACACCCGUAGAUUCCCCUCGACCCCCUCUUCCUCUUGCGCCACCUGCCCAAAACACCACCUCGCCGGAGCGCCAGCAAGCUAGCUGGCCAGAGCCCCGGUGAGAGGAGGAAGAAGGAACCUGGCUCUUUUGUGAUUGGGUCCUUGAGGAAAGCUAAAAUCUUUUGCUCUGUUCCUUGCUCCCGGCGAGAGGAGGAAGAAUAGUGGGCUUCUGUGGUGGAGGGCGAGAUCGAACCAGGAGUCAGAAUGUCAAUCUACCCUCAAACUCCUCUUUUCUGGAGUUGGGAACACCCUCCCAACCAAACACCUUCAUCAGACAGCAGGUUGAAAAGAGGCACAUGAGGCUCAGCCGCUUAGGCCCACGGGCAAAAAAAAAAAACUCUUACUUUAUGGCGGAGUAGUUGCUGUUCCAGUGUGCAGGUAAAUUGUCGCAAAUGCCCUCUUGUGGUCGCGUUGCAGUAGCCGAUAAGGCGUCCAAACGUGAGGUGCACACACCUGAUCUGAUCCUCUCAGUGGAAACGGGCCAGGUCCAUGCAACCCAGGACAGGAAGGCUCUAUACCUGGGCCGAACGGUAGCCCAAGAGGCCGACAGUAAGUGAGCUCACGGGUGACGAACGGCCCAGAAGCCGCCCCAAUCCGGCCACCGCCACUGAGCCGGCUCGACUAAACCGGAUCGCCACGCAGCCCGACCGCGCAGGCGUACUUCCCGAACUACCCCCGGAGAUUAUCCAAUCGGACGGCCAAGCGCCACGCACUGCCAAAGAAUUCCCCGAAAUGACCCUACUCUUCCCUUUGCCUCCCUCGCGUGCCGCCGGUUCUGCUCGACCGGACCAGCGGUUCAGGCGCCGAAUAUUCGCCCGCGGAUAUUUCUUGCCCGGUGCGUCAACUCCGCCGCUAUAAAUACCCUCAUAGGGCGGCCGCUAGGGUUUUAGUGCUUCUCUCCCGGCGGCGCCUCCACAUAUCGUCUCUCAGAUCGGGAGGCGAAACCAAGGUGACUGACCUCAUCCCCUUUCUCCUCCCUCCGUCUCUGGUUGCUAUAGCUAUUUCAUCCAUGCGCUGUCCUUAUAGCUGAUUAGUAUUUUUACUAGUGGAGUUCGAGUCGUUUUGGUUCCAUUCAGUAGUGCUUGUGUUGAUUGGAUUGAAUCGGAGGACUCGAAGUGGUUUGUGCUGCUCGAAUCGUAAGUUUGUUGGGCUAAUCUCGAUGGAAUUUAUGUCAAUUCGUUGGUUUAGUGGUCCUUGGCAGUUCUCUCUGUGAUAGGCCCGUCCGAUCUGUAGAGAUGCGGUGGAAUCCUGGUUUACUCAAAACGGUUCUAGAUUCCUCUGUUCUUCCCUUAUUUUUUGUUUCGAUUACUUAGUUUGCACGUUAGGGGCCUAUGAAGUUUAUGUGCUCGGAUCCUUUAGUGAAACUGAUCUGUUUACUCAGAUGUGCUCGGAUCCUUCAGUGAAACUGAUCUGUUUACUCAGAUCUGCUGGUAGCUAACAGGUUCAGGGUAGUUAUGUUGAUGGUCUAGUUUUGGUAGUUUCAUUGUCGAUUUCUGUCCAUUUUUGUCAUGUUCUGUCCAUAAAAAUACUAUCUGUGCUUCUUCAUAUCUUGUAAUAUGAAUUCAUUUGACAAACUAUGCAUUUCUUUUAGAGUGUUUGUCUAAAUUAAUCUUCUGGUAUAUCCCUAUGCCAGUCUGUUAAUAUGUCUGUAUUAUAGUGUUUUGUUUGAGGUGGUAAUGUACAUGGUGCACCCUGCAGUUUUUCAUGUCUAAUAUUGAAUCUCCUUGUUUGCUGUAUGUAUUAAGGAUUAGUUUCACUUCAAAUAGCUUACUGCUGAUGCUUUCUUGUUUGUUUAAUAUGCUGUGUAAUCAUGUUGACCCUGAGGUUUGUAAGAAUUCCUCUUAUUUGAUUAUUGCAUGGAUUAGUGUCCUGAAGGAUAUGGCUCCUUUGUACAAUUAAGAUAAUUCACUUUUUUUUCUCAACUUUUAUAUGCUUACUAGCCCAUUAGGUUGUGUAAACAUUAGAGUGCUUUAGCCUGGUAAAGAUGAGUUAAGCAUUUUAAAUAAAUUUUUGGAUUUGGUUGAUAUCAUCCUUAACACCUGCAUUUAAACAAUUUGUCUCUUUUGAUCCUGACUAUUACAGUGGGUGUUACUUUCUUUAGUCAUUCUGUGGUAUCAAAGUUUCUGGUGUAGUUGUGUAAUUAUGGUUUUGGUUGGAUUCUUACUAGUAUUUUCUACCUUUAAACAGCAGGAAAUUAUAUACAUAUUUGUAGUGUGAUCUUCAUAAGAAGUCAAGAUGGUGAAGUUCACAGCGGAAGAGCUCCGUGCCAUCAUGGACAAAAAGAACAACAUUCGUAAUAUGUCCGUUAUUGCUCAUGUGGACCACGGUAUGUUAAGAACAGUGUUUAAUUAAAUGUUAUGCAUACCUGUUCCUCGACAUUUUUCAGGCUUUUCAAUUUUAGCAAUUGUUUUUUUUCAGUAUUAAAUCUCUGAAUUGUUCUUGCCAGUGAAUGCGAUUCAUGCUGCGUUAGCUAUCACAGACCUAUUUUACAUAUGUAGAAAUAUUCAUUUCAUGUUGGAAAUAGGCUUAUUGUUCUUUUGUAAUUAAUGUAUUGGUUUAUCUCUAGAUAUUGCAGUGUAUAGUAUCUGUUUACUAUGUGUUUUAUAUUGGGAUGUAUUGUUGUCUUUGUUAACUUGUGAGAGGUUGUCUAUCCCUAAUGUUGUACUAUUCUUGAUGCAUCUUCGGACUGACUUUUAAGUUCCACACUAUAGUCUUACAUCUCAUUAAUUCUUUGCAGGCAAGUCUACCCUUACAGAUUCCCUUGUGGCAGCUGCUGGGAUUAUUGCCCAGGAAGUUGCUGGUGAUGUCCGCAUGACUGAUACACGUGCAGAUGAAGCAGAGCGUGGUAUUACAAUCAAAUCCACCGGUAUUUCUCUGUACUAUGAGAUGACUGAUGAGUCACUGAAGAGUUACAAGGGUGAGAGAGAUGGUAACCAGUACUUGAUCAACCUUAUCGACUCACCUGGGCACGUUGAUUUUUCUUCGGAAGUCACAGCUGCCCUUCGUAUCACCGAUGGUGCUCUAGUGGUGGUUGACUGUAUUGAAGGUGUCUGUGUGCAAACUGAAACUGUGCUCCGCCAGGCUCUUGGUGAGAGGAUUAGGCCAGUGCUUACUGUGAACAAGAUGGACAGGUGUUUCCUUGAGCUUCAGGUUGAGGGUGAGGAAGCCUACCAGACUUUCUCCCGUGUCAUUGAGAAUGCCAAUGUCAUUAUGGCAACAUAUGAAGAUAAGCUCCUUGGUGAUGUCCAAGUCUACCCGGAGAAGGGAACUGUUGCUUUCUCUGCUGGUCUGCACGGCUGGGCCUUUACCCUCACCAACUUUGCCAAGAUGUAUGCUUCGAAGUUUGGAGUUGAUGAAACUAAGAUGAUGGAGAGGCUCUGGGGUGAGAACUUCUUUGACCCAGCCACAAAGAAGUGGACCACCAAGAACACAGGCUCUGCUACCUGCAAGAGAGGAUUUGUUCAGUUCUGCUAUGAGCCAAUCAAGCAAAUCAUCAACACCUGCAUGAAUGACCAGAAGGAUAAGUUGUGGCCCAUGCUUCAAAAGCUUAAUGUUACCAUGAAGUCUGAUGAGAAGGAAUUGGUUGGCAAGGCUUUGAUGAAGCGUGUUAUGCAAACUUGGCUUCCAGCUAGUACUGCACUGCUUGAGAUGAUGAUAUUCCACCUUCCUUCCCCAUCAAAGGCACAAAAGUAUCGUGUGGAGAACUUGUACGAGGGACCCCUUGAUGAUAUCUAUGCUACUGCUAUCAGGAACUGUGAUCCGGAGGGUCCUCUUAUGCUGUAUGUUUCUAAGAUGAUUCCAGCAUCUGACAAGGGCAGGUUCUUCGCCUUUGGUCGUGUCUUCUCUGGGAAGGUUGCUACUGGUAUGAAGGUUAGGAUCAUGGGUCCCAACUAUGUCCCUGGCCAGAAGAAGGAUCUGUACGUCAAGAGUGUCCAGCGUACUGUUAUCUGGAUGGGAAAGAAACAAGAGUCUGUUGAGGAUGUUCCUUGUGGUAACACUGUUGCUAUGGUUGGUCUGGAUCAGUUCAUCACGAAGAAUGCUACACUCACCAAUGAGAAGGAGGUUGAUGCAUGCCCAAUCAGAGCAAUGAAGUUCUCUGUCUCCCCUGUUGUGCGCGUUGCUGUUCAGUGCAAGGUUGCCUCUGACCUACCCAAGCUCGUUGAAGGUUUGAAGCGUCUGGCAAAGUCUGAUCCUAUGGUCCUCUGUACAAUUGAAGAAUCUGGUGAGCAUAUUAUUGCUGGAGCUGGUGAGCUUCACCUUGAGAUUUGCCUGAAGGAUCUGCAGGAAGACUUCAUGGGUGGUGCUGAAAUUAUUGUUUCUCCUCCUGUUGUCUCUUUCCGUGAAACUGUUCUUGAGAAAUCCUGCCGAACAGUCAUGAGCAAGUCCCCCAACAAGCACAACCGUCUUUACAUGGAAGCCCGUCCCUUGGAAGAGGGUCUCCCUGAGGCUAUUGAUGAGGGCCGCAUUGGUCCACGUGAUGAUCCCAAGGUUCGCUCCAAGAUCCUCUCUGAGGAGUUUGGUUGGGACAAGGAUCUUGCCAAGAAGAUUUGGUGCUUUGGACCUGAGACCACUGGCCCGAACAUGGUUGUUGAUAUGUGUAAGGGAGUGCAGUACCUCAAUGAAAUCAAGGAUUCUGUUGUGGCUGGCUUCCAGUGGGCCUCAAAGGAGGGUGCACUGGCUGAGGAGAACAUGCGUGGCAUCUGCUUUGAGGUCUGUGAUGUUGUUCUUCAUGCUGAU